AUAUAUAUAAAUAUCUAACAAAUUCGUCAUCAAUCAAGGACUUUGUAAACAAUUAUUGACAUUUAAUACACAAAGAGUGGCAUUUGAUGAUGAAAAUAUAUAGCAAAAGCCCACAAAUUCAUACCGUAGCAAAAUACACAAACAAGCAAACAAGGAAAAGAGGAUUUCAAACCGUUCCAAUUGAACCGGCUACUCCGGUCCAAUUCAUAAUAACAUAGAUUCAUACAUCGUAAAUUCGUAAUCCAUUUUUGAUCAAACAACAUUACCAGAAAAUCAUAGCUGACUUUUAGCAAAGUUCAUCACCAGGAUGAGCUCUAAGAUUCCAGAAAUAGCCUUUGGGAUCGUUCUCAAAUACACUUCUCGCCAUUCUUAUAUUUCUCCCUGGCGCUUUCAUCGUCCUCACUCUUCCACCGCCGCGGCCCCUACAGCAGCCGCAGCAGCAGCGGCAGAAACAGAUGAACAAGAUCAAUGUAGCCGCAAUAACGAGGAACAGGGUGGCGACAUGGAGCCAGUGGUGGAUCUCAUCGCCUCUUGUCUCCGGUGGAAACACCUUGUCAAACCAAUCCACGACCUCGCCACCAAAAUUUUCAAUUGCCUGUAGUAAUUCCUUCAACUUUUCGAAAAUGAAAUUUAUCACUUCAUUCACACCCAUCUCUGUAGGUUGUAGUGUGUGUCGAGGUGCUUUUGAUGCUCUGGAUAGAAAAGAAUUGCUAAUUAAAUGCAAUUAGGGUUAUGAUUUUUAUAAAAAUUUGGUAUUUCCAAAAGAUGCCCAAAUUUUGGGACCCAUGUAGAGCAUUGAUGAAUACAUUUCUUCUCCACAAAGGAAGAGCGUUAUUUCUUUGUCAAGCUACAUAAAUUGCAAUUUUUGAGUUUGUUGAAAUUUCUUGUAAGGUCCGUUACUUGGUUCUAAUGGUAGCAAAAUGCACCCCUUCGGGCCAACAUUUGGAUCAAGUGAUUAAAUUGAAACAAAAAUGUUUUUUACUAACAAAAUUGAGACAUUUUUCUUACCCUUGAAUAUAAUGUUGGCGAGUUUAAAGUUAAUUUUUUUUUUCCGUAAAAUCUUCCCAAUUUAAAUAAAGAGUAUACUUUUAAAUUCUCUUCAUUUAGAGAUUUUCUUUAAAAUAAAUAAAUAAAUGAGGAGGAUUACUAAAGGUGCUAGCAUGCCUACUUUUGAGUCAACCUAAAUUAUUUAACAUUUUGCUUUCAUCAUUUAGCCCCAAUUUGUUUAAGAUUAACAAAAAUAAAAAUAAAACAAAAAAUUUAAUAGAUUUUGAUAAAAGUUGAUAAAAUGUGUAAUUAAAAAAUUGUGGAUUCCAUAAAAUAUGUUAUUAAAAUUAAUUGUUGAUCAUGACUUAGAUUAUAAUUUAGAUAUUUAACUGAACCAAAAAGAGGGCUUAAAUCGUUACAUUGCCUAAAUUGAAAUUAAACACUAAUAAUUAUAUAUAGCAUUACUUAUAUUAAAAUCUAGACAAGGUUAGAGUAAUUGACUAGGCACGACCUACAUAACUUGGUAGUCUACCAUUGAAAAUGAAUAAUGCUAUAUAUCACUCGAGAUUAUUCAGAUUCAUACCCUAUCCAGUACAUAGACGGAUUUAGUCCUGGGCUAGCCCAGACCAAUCAGGCCCAAACCCCUUUUUCCUAAGAAAAAAUGUGUUAAAAAAGAAAAUUUAUGUGAUUUUUUUAUUAUUUUUAUUUUUAUUUAUAUUUUUUUUAGUGCUUCCUUGACUUCGCUCCUACCCAAGUACAUGGUUCCAAUGAAAGUGUUUCUAGUUUUGACUGCGUAUUUAAUAUACCAUUUUUCCUAGUAAAAAUGCCUUUUGUUUUGGUAAAUUGGUCAUUGGAAAUAUGAGUAUAAGAUGGACCGUCAAAAACAUCUUGGACGAAUUACGUUCACAGUUUUAAAGGUGUUAAUUUAUUCUAGUGAAACUAUUUUUAUUUAGAGAAAAUUAAAGAAGCAUUUUUUUUUUUCAAAAUUGAAGAAAUAAUAUAACAUGUUGCCAGAAAACUAUAAAUUCUUUACACCUAUAGCAGCCGAGUAAGGAAUAUAUUUUCAUUUAGGGAUGGCAACAGGUCGGGACGGGUAUGGAACGGGUCGGCCAUUCAUACCCCCGUUCUGUCGGGUAUUUUUGUUAUCUUAUCUCAUACCCAUACCCGGUUAAAGCGGGACGGGACAGGGCGGGUUCGGUGCAGGAUCGGGGCGGGGCGGGGCAAGUCUCCUGCCCCAUUUAUCGCCUCAUUUAUUUUUUCUUUUUCUUUUUCUUUUAUUUUUGCUUUUAUUUUUUAUCUCCUUAGUUAGUAAAUAUUGUUACUUUUUUACCAAUUUGUUAAAAACAACUUAUGUUUUCUUUAAAAAUGAUGAUAAAUCUAUUAUUUUUGUUUGAUAAAAACUUAAAUUUGAAAUUAAUAUUAAACGGGGGCGGGACUAUGUUUCCCGUACCCGUCUCAUACCCGCUUCGGAACAAUGACCCUCGCUCCAUACCCAUCACGUGUACUUGAUUAGGCGGGUAUUACACGCUCCAUUCGGGGCGGGACCCCAUGGGUAUCGAGUUGAACGGGUUUUUUUACCAUCCCUAUUUCCAUUCAAUCAAGACCACAAUUUAUCAUAUAUUGUGGAGUCAAAAAAAUUAAAAAGCUACAGAAAUAUUUCUAAUUAUAUUAAUAUUUUACCUACUUAAAAACUAAAAUAACUGUUAUGAGUUUAAUUGUGAUUUUCUUAUAAGAAAAAUAUAAUUUUUUUGAAUUUUUUGUACGUAGUAAUGUUAUAUGGGAUGAUGAUCAAAUUUUUACUAAAUUGCAGGAAUCAACAAAUGUUAUAUUUUAAAAUUAUUUUUUAUAUUAUAAAAUAAUUAUAGAAUAUAAGAAUAUACUGAAAUAAUCUCUAAAAUCCCAAUUUAAACAUUGUCAAGUUGUUAAGAAGAAAUCUUUUUCUUAAAUGAGUAUUAUAGUUUGAAAAAACUAGAUUAUAAAUGUAUGACAAAUUAAAAUUCAGUACUUCUAAAGUAGAAAUAAUUAAAUAUCUUAAGACUAAGCUAUUUUUUAUGCUAUUUAUCAUCAUCAUGAAUUAUUUUUUAACUUGAAGAAACUACAUGUUUUCUCUUGCAUUUUGGUCACAACGCAAUAAUAUUUUUCAAAAUUAACUUUAUUAUUUAAAGAAAGAAGAGCAAUAUUAAUCAAAAUGUUGACUAUAUAAAGGACAAAUUACAUUGUAUAUUUUUCUUCAAUUCUAACUUUGUUAUGUUUUUGUAAGAACAAUAAGAGGAAUUUAUUUUAGCUAAACAUUGCAUAAAGGUACAAAUAUAAAAAAUAUAUAUAUAGAAAUAAAAAUUCUUUGUAAACAGUCGAUUCCAUGAUUAAAAGUUCAUUCCAUAUUUCUUUUAACAAAUGAUAAAAUCAAAAUAGAAGUAAUAUUUUUUAAAUCCUUUUAUAUGCAAUACAAAUAUAUAGAAGCUAAAGCAGAAUGUACAUUUUCUUAAUUUUUCAUUUUUGAUUGGAAAACAAACCCUAGAGGAGGUUUAUGUAGUUAAAAGGUAAAGGGUGUUUCUAAUAAUAGUCAAAUGCUUUAGGGGUGUCAUCGAUAUUAAGUUUAUAAAUAAACCAAUUUCACUGCCUAUAAAUUUAUCCAAUCCCCACCUGGGUGAAGAACAUAAGAGCAAGAAAUACUAAAAAAUUAAAAUUAAAAAUAAUAAAAUAAUAAUAAUUAUUGUUAUAAUAAUAAUAAGUAUGAGCUCCGAUGGAAACUCUGGAGGUUCUGGGCGACCAAAUAAAGGAACAUCUUUCAUGGCUACAGUAGCAACAGUGUUUGGAGUGGUGGCUCUGGCGCGUGAGUUAUGGAAUCUAGCCAGCCCGACAGAAGAGCCACCAACGGAGGAGAUGAUGAAAGCACCAGGAAAAAUAGAUACAUAUAUUCCUAGAAAAGACUUUGAGGAUAACUGUUGGGCUGUGAUGCCAAGGUCCUGUCCGACAUAGGCUUUGAUGAUAAAAAAAAAAAAAAAAAAAAAAGGCCCAAUAUGGAAUGAGAUGGCCCACUUAACCAAGCCCAAUAAUUCAGUCCACUCUUAGUUGCUCUGGAGCCGUUGGAUUAACCUACUGAUCAAUGGCUGGUGGUUUUAACUAUAAAUAAGACCCUUUUCUUUGACCUAGAGAUUGAAUCGUCAUUUUUUUCUCUUUUUGUGAGUCGUCUAUUUCUGGAAUCUUCAAGGACUUUCUGUCUCUGUGAUUUUUUCAUCUUCUUUGAUGGAAACUCUGGAGUUUCUGGUUGACAAAAUAAAGGAACAUCUUUCAAGGCUACGGUAGCAAUAGCGUUCGAAGUGGUGGCUUUGGCUCGUGAGUUAUGGAAUCUAGCCAUCCCGGUAGAAGAGCCACCAACGGAGAAGAUGAUGAAAGCACCAGGAAAAAUAGAUACAUAUAUUCCUAGAAAAGACUUUGAGUGUAACUGUUGGGUUGUGAUGCCAAGGUCCUGUCCAACAUAAGCUUUGAUGAUAAAAAAGAAAAAAGAAAAAAAAGGCCCAAUAUAGAAUGAGAUGGCCCACUUAACCAAGCCCAAUAAUUCAUUCCACUCUUAGUCGCUCUGGAGCCGUUGGAUUAACCCACUAAUCAAGUGCUGAUGGUUUUAACUAUAAAUAAGACCCUUUUCUUUGACCUAGAGAUUGAAUCGUCAUUUUUCUUCUCUUUCUGUGAGUCGUCUCUUUCUGGAAUCUUCAAGGGCUUUCUGUCUCUGUGAUUUUUUCAUCUUCUCUUUGUAAGAUUAUCUAGUGAUAUCUUUGUGAUAAUCGAGUCCUUGGUCUGAGAACUCUCUGUGUAAGUAAACUGUUGUGAAGUGGUCUGUCCAUUUUCAUGUUCCAUUGUAAGGACUUUGAAGUUGGGAUUGUGAGGGUCUAUUGUUCAGUUCAGUGCCUCUGUGAUGUUCCUUAGAGGUUUAUGGUCUGAGCCUAUGAAAGAUCAAAACUAGAUGCAGUGGUUUUAGAUUUUUCUGUAAAGUUCUCUAUUAUAUUUGUUGUACAGUUUGGAUCUUGAAUUAAUGAUAACCUUGUUGCCUAUUUUCGCAACCUUCGUCGCUGAGGUCAGAUAUUAAUACUAUAGUACUGUAAGUUGAAAUCCAUUGCCAUGGUAAUUGGGACAGAUUCAACUGUCGUGUUUAAUUUGCUGUUAUGCGUGUUUUAGUAGUAUCAAUUAAUAUGGAAAUAGGGUGUCUGUCUCUAAUCUUCAACUCUAGAGCCGUUUAGAGAGGUCGAAUGUUGGAUUGUGAUCUAUGUGCUAAUAUUUUUACCGUUUAGAGAGGUCGAAUGUUGGAUUGUGAUCUAUGUGCUAAUAUUUUUAGUUCUAUGUAAUAAAAUGAUGUUUGUUAAUUUAUGAGUAUCUAUCUUUAACGACGACAUGUUUGAUGUCGCGUAUACAAGGUUAAAGGUUUCGGUGAAUUUAUUAGAAGGGCCUUUGUUUUACCAAUCAAAGUAAAAAUUAAGAAGUCGUAAAAGUUUAAGAAUUGUUAAAUUGAAAUUUGAGUUAUCAUAACAAGGACGGAGCUAGAAAGAUAUAUUAAGAUGAGCUGAAAUUUAAUUUCUUUUCAAUGAACUCAUAUUAUAAAAGAUGUUCUAUGCCACACGAGAUUUAGUGCUUAUUUGGUACAGAUUUUAAGUAAAUUAAAAUUAAUUUUUUUAUCAUUAUUUCACUAUUCCAAUUAUCAUUUUUUAAUUCUUUUUUCACAGGUGGAACCCACUUUAUCUCUAACGGUCAAAAAAUCAAUUAUCAAAAUUCCUAUCAAACAAGUACUUAGUUUAAAGGGUUAAACUCGUGUUCGUGACAAAGUGGGCCAGUAUAUUUUUGGACACUCAUGACAAAAGUUAUAACAAAUAUAUUUUAAACUAAUAAAAUUAAGUAUAGAGCAAAUUACUUAUUUUGAUAAUUACAUCCAUUUCAUGGUUGAAAUAAAUCAAUUUUUAACUUAUAAGUAUAAAUUAAUAAUAUAUGAAAAAAUGUAUCGAAAAAAUUUGAUUACUUUUAAGCUUAGUCAAACAUGUGACAUUAAUCGAUACAAAUUAUUUGUUGCAUAAUAAACUAAUUUGAUUAUAUGUGAACUCUUUAAACUUAGUUUUUUAUAUAUAUGAAUGAAAUAAAAUACUUAAUUUAAUAACGAGUUAUUUGUGCAUCAUGAAUGUGAAUAAAAUAAAUAUGUAAAUGUUGCAAAGUCUUAAACAAAAUUUGAAUAAUUCAACAUUGAGUUUGGGUUGUGAAUGAAGUUAGUUGGGUUAAAAUUAAUUUUUGAAUUGGGUUAAAAUUAAUUUUUGAAUUAGACUAAAUUUUUAUUUUUUUUCAUUUCACCAUGAAUGUAGUCUAAAUUUUACAUUUUUAAGCCAAUUUGCUUCAAGGCUAGAACAGGGCUAGCCUAUAGCCCCCCUCUCCAUCUGCCUUUGUAUUGUAAUACAUGGAUCUUACAAAAUACGUAGAUAGUAGUUGUUUGUUUUACAAAACAUUCGGAUAAAAAGUAUGUUGAAUUAAUUAGAAUUAUAUUUUAAACUUUGUCUAACAUUACAAAAAAUUUCAUCGUGGAGCAAGGGUGACAAUGUAGAAGAAGAGUGGAAAGAUUUUUUUUUCCGGACAAUUUUGGAGGAGGUUUUCUGUUCAACUUCGUAUUUCUUAGACAGGUUUUUAAAAAAUAAGUAAAUAUAGGUGAUAAAUUUGCUCAUAUUUAAUGAUUUACCGUCGUGGUGUGUCUAUUUAGCCUUUGUUUUGGUAACUGUUCUUUCUUGUUUUGGUAACUGUUCUUUCUUAACUCUCUCUUUUUUUAAUACUCAUUUAGAUUGUAGUAAAAUACUUUUUACGCAAAUCAAAACUAUUCCCUACUUUUUAUCACAAAUUAUUCAAAAAAUUACUAUUCAAAAACUCAUUUUUUACCCAAAAAAAUAAAUAAAAAAAUGGAAUGUCAAACGGGGACUUAUUAACUUGUCAAUGCCAUACCUCACAUUCUCACCUCAAAUGAAAUUAACACAAUUUAGUAUGACCUUGUUUGAGUCCCAUUUUUCAAUCAAAAUAGAUUUUUCAAUGGUGAUUUGACAUCAUUUCAACUACACAUUUUUCAAUAAAAUAAUAUUAUACGCAAAUCAAAAAUUUUUCCUUAUUUUUUAACCACACAUUUUCCAUCAAUACACUAUUUAAAAAUUCAUUUUCUUCACAAAAAUGGGGCUCAAACAAGGGCAAUAUCAUAUUAAGGCCAAUUUUGCUGGUCGGCAUCUCAUUUUGUGUUAUUUCGAAUUGAGCUCAUUUAGGUGUAGGUAAAAAUCUGAUUUUUAAUUAAAAAAAAAAAAGUUAAUGAAAUAUGUGGUUAAGAAGUUAUAGGUCUUAGAAAAUGUAUAGUUAAAAUUAGUCAUUCAUUUUGAUUUGAUAUUUUUAUUUAGACCAAACAGAGACUUAAUAUGAAUCCUGUGAAUAUUAUAGCCCUUAUUUCAUCAAUAAUUUAAUCAUAUAAAAAUACAUUGAUUACAAAAGAUUAUUUCACUUCCAAACAGUUUAAAUUAAGAAUAAUAUUAUUCAUCUAAAUUCUAAAUAAUCAUUAGUAUGCGUGACUAUGAAAAUCAAUUUUAGGUGAUAGUCGGUCCAUUAAUGCAAUGAAAAAUGAAUCAGGCAAGCCGAUAAUAUUAUUAUUAUUAUUUUUUUUUUUUUUUUUUUUUUUUGGGAAUUCACUCACAUUUCAUGCUGGGUCCUAGAGAGAUACAUCUAUUGGAUCCGUACAGCAUAAAGGGUACAAACUAAUAAAUUGCUUUAUUCUCUUUCUUUAUCUCAAAGCUUGCAAAAAGUUUGUACGAGGACAGUGACUAGAUUAACGUCGGAAUUUAGUGCAUGUUUGAUUUGAAUUAAAUUUUAAUUUUAAUUUAAGUUAAACUCAAAUAAUCAAUAUUAAUAAUAUCUUUCAUGGAUCCCACAAUAUUUCAAUCAUAUAUUUCAAAAACUUCUAUCACAAUCUACUAAAAAAUCUAAUAUUAAUCAUCACCGUACACCCUCUUAAAUUGUCGUUAUUAUCUAUUGAAAAUCUCUUUUGUAGGCCACAUUUUAGCAGUGCUUGGAGAUUUCUUAACAGCAAAGGGAGCACUAGAGGAAGUCUACGUUGUGAGUCAAGUCUUCGUAGAUUAUUAAGUCUUGUUUGGGCUUCAUUAAUUUUAAAGUGUAUUUUUUAAACUCAUUUUUAAUCACUCAUUCUUUCAUAAAAUAAUAUUAAAAAUAAAUCCAAAACCUUAUAACCACAAAUUCUUCAAAAAGUCACUAUUCGAAAUAUAUUUUCUCUCAAAAUCACAUUAAAAUAAAACUCAAACAGUCUUCAAUUGCCAAUAGUAAUUCCUUCAACUUUUCUACAAUGCAGCUUCAUUCACACCCAUCUCUUUAGGUUGUAGUGUUUGUCGAGGUGCUUUUGAUGCUUUGGAGAGAAAAGAAUCACUAAUUAAGCCCCCGUUUGGCCCCAUUCUUUUCAAAUUUGACUAAAAUUUCACAUGAGUUUUGUUUAUUAGAGCUUUUCCAAUCAAAUUUUAUUAAAAUUUUACCUGGGUUUCAUUCAUGGGCUUGUAUCAAAUCAAAUUUGACUAAAAUUUCACAUGGGUUUGGUUCAUUGGCACGAUUCCAAUCAAAUUUGACUAAAAUUUCAAAAAGAUUUAGUUAAUUGGCGUGUUUCUAAUCACAUUUGACUAAAAUUUCACCAGAGUUUGGUUUGUUAGUGCGUUUCCAUUCAAAUUUGACUAGAACUUCAUCUUAAUUUUGUUCGUUAGCGCGUUUUCAAUCAAAUUUAACUAAAAUUUCAGUUGUAUUUUGUUCAUUGUUGCGUUUACAUUCAAAUUUAACUAAAAUUUCACAUGACAUUGGUUCAGUAGCACAUUUCAAAUCAAAUUUCACUAUAAUUUCAUGCAAAAAUUUUCACAUUAUUUUUGUUCAUGGGAGCGUUUCCAAUCAAAUUUUACUAAAUUUUCACUUGGGUUUCGUUCAUGGGCUUGUAUCAAAUCAAAUUUGACUAAAAUUUCACAUGAAUUUGGUUUAUUGUCGCGAUUCCAAUCAAAUUUGACUAAAAUUUCACCGAAAUUCACACUUUACCAACCAAAAUUCGUUGAUAAAAUAUUUACUCUUUACCUACGACAGGAUCCGUUGGUAACUAUCAGCGACCCUCAAAUUAGCAACGAAUUUGCGGUUGCAAAUAUUCCAUUGAUAAAGAGUAAUAGCAACGUAUAUUGAGAUUUCAAGAACGAAAAAUCUGUGUCUGAAACAAUGUUUUUUUAGUAGUGUUAGUAAAUCAUAUCAUAUUAAGGCCAAUUUUGUUGGUCGGCAUCUCAUUUUGUGUUAUUUCAAAUUGAGCUCAUUUAGGUGUAGGUAAAAUCUGAUUUUCAAUAAAAAGUUAAUGAAAUGUGUAGUUAAAAAGUUAUAAGUCUUAGAAAAUGUAUAGUUAAAAUUAAUUAUUUAUUUUGAUUUGAUAUUUUCAUCUAGACCAAACAGAGACUUAAUAUGAAUCCUGUGAAUAUUAUAACCCUUAUUUCAUCAAUAAUUUAAUCAUAUAAAAAUACAUUGAUUACAAAAGAUUAUUUCACUUCCAAACAGUUUUAAUUAAGAAUAAAUUAUUCAUCUAAAUUCUAAAUAAUCAUUAGUAUGCGUGACUAUGAAAAUCAAUUUUAGAAAAUUCAAUUUUAGGUGAUAGUCGGUCCAUUAAUGCAAUGAAAAAUGAAUCAGGCAAGCCGAUAACAUAAAUUUUUUUUUUUUUUUUUGUUUCUUUGUUUUUUUGUGGGAAUUCACUCACAUUUCAUGCUAGGUCCUAUAGAGAUUCAUCUAUUGAAUCCGUACAGCAUAAAGGGCACAAACUAAUAAAUUGAUUUAUUCUCUUUCUUUAUCUCAAAGCUUGUAGAAAGUUUGUAUGAGGACGUUGACUCAGACAAACGUCGGAAUUUAGUGGAUGUUUGAUUUGAAUUAAACUUUAAUUUUAAAUUCAAUAUUAAUAAUAUCUUUCAUGGAUCCCACAACAUUUCAACAACAUAUUUCAAAAACUUCUAUCACAAACUACUAAAAAAAUCUAAUAUACCCCACCGUACACCCUCUUAAAUUGUCGUAUUAUCUAUUGAAAAUCUCUUUUGUAGGCCACAUUUUAGCAGUGUUUGGAGAUUUCUUAACAGCGAAGGGAGCACUAGAAGAAGUCUACGUUGUGAGUCAACUCUCCGUAGAUCAUUAAGUCUUGUUUGGGCUCCAUUAAUUUUAAAAUGUAUUUUUUAAACUCAUUUUUAAUCACUCAUUCUUUCAUAAAAUAAUAUUAAAAAGAAAUCCAAAACCUUUCAUCUUAUAACCACAAAUUCUUCAGAAAAUCACCAUUCGAAAUAUAUUUUCUCUCAAAAUCACAUUAAAAUGAAACCUAAACAGUCUUCAAUUGCCAAUAAUAAUUCCUUCAACUUUUCUACAAUGCAGUUCAUCACUUCAUUCACACCCAUCUCUUUAGGUUGUAGUGUUUGUCGAGGUGGUUUUAAUGCUUUGGAGAGAAAAGAAUUGCUAAUUAAGCUCCCGUUUGGCCCUCAUUCUUGUCAAAUUUUAAUGGUUGGAAUAGUAUUUUUUUGAAUAAUGUGUGGUUGAAAAAGAAUGAAAAGUUUUUUAUUUGUGUGUAAUAAUAUUUUAUAGAAAAUUGUGUGAUUGAAAAUGAGAGAGAGAGAGAGAGAGAGAGAGAGAGAGAAAUGAGAAUGAGAAUGGAGGGCCAAACGAGGGCUAAAUGCAAUUAGGGUUAUGAUUUUUAUAAAAAUCUGGUAUUUCCAAAAGAUGGUCAAAUUUUGGGACCCAUCUAGAGCAUUGUUGAAUACAUUUCUUCUCCUCAAAGGAAGAGCGUUAUUUCUUGGUCAAGCUACAUAAAUUGCAAUUAUUGAGUUAGUUGAAAUUUCUUGCUAGCUUCAUCACUUGGUUGUAGUGCUACCAAAAUGCACCCCUCCAGGCCAACAUUUGGAUCGAGGGAUUAAAUUGAAACAAAAAUGUCAGUUACAAAUAAAAUUGAGACAUUUUUCUUACCCUUAAAUAUAAUGUUGGCGAGUUUAAAGUUAAUAUUUAUUAUUAUUAUUAUUAUUAUUAUUAUUAUUAUUAUUAUUUUGUAAAAUCUUCCCUAUUUAAAUAAAGAUUAUACCUUUAAAUUCUCUUCAUUUAGAGAUUUUCAAAUUUUUUUUAUAAAAGAAAAAAAAAAGGGGGGGAUUACUAGAGGUGCACAGCAUGUCUACUUUGGAGUCAACCUAAAUUAUAUAACAUUUUGCUUUCAUCAUUUAGCCCCAAUUUGUUUAACAAUAAUAAUAAAAAAACAAAAAUUUUAGUAGAUUUUGAUAAAAGUUGAUAAAAUAUAUGAUUAAAAAAAUGUUGAUCCUAUAAAAUAUGUGAUUAAAAUUAAUUGUUGAUUGUGACUUGGAUUAUAAUUUAGAUUUUUAACAUAACCAAGGGGGCUUAAAUCAUUACAUCGCGUAAAUUAGUAUUAAAGACUAAUAAUUAUAUAUAACAUUAUUUAUAUUAAAAUCUAGACUAGAUUAAAGUAAUUGACUAGGCACAACCUACAUAACUUGGGAGUCUACCAUUAAAAAUGAAUAAUGCUAUAUAUCACUCGAGAUGACUCAGAUUCAUACCCUAUCAAGUACCACAUCACACGAAAAUGAUCUCAAGAAGGACAUGUUAGCAUGAUUUUGGUUGAAGAGUCACAUUGAAAUGUGAGAUACCAAGUGCUAACAAAUUCUUAUCAUAGAAAGUGGAAAUUACACCGAACCACAUAUUUGAAGAUCCAAUUUCAAAAAUCAAGUUUAAAUUUUGCUUAUGCAAAAAUCAGAUGAUAAAUAUACAUUUUAAUUGAUUAAUAAUAUUAUUAAAUUAAAUUAAUUUAUAUACCGUAAUUUGCCUAACCUAACCCAACCCCAUCUAUCUAUAGUUGUCUCUCUGCCCUCUGCCACAAAUCGACCACCGAGACCAUAGCUUUCAAAUUGUUCCCACAAAUCGAUGUCAGUGCUACAGAUCAAGUAGGAUAAGAGAAGGGGUGGUGGCGCUAGUGUGAGGCAAAGGCAGAGGCGAAUCGCAAUAGUUGUUGUCACAAUGGCGAUGGUGCGAUGUGGUGGUGGUGGGUUGUGUGGUGGGGUUAUGAUUUCUAGUGGUCGAUGGCAGAGGUUUGGUGUGGUUUUUGGUGGUCAAUUUUUGCAGUGGUGUGCAGGUGGUGAUUUUGUAGCUACUGUGGCGGUGUUGUACUGUGCGUUGGAUCUGGUGGUGGUGGUCGCGACGGCUCUGUUGUGGUGUUGGUGGCUUUGUUCAGUGGCGAAGGCUCUGCUGUCUCUCCUCCAUCCUUUAUUUGUCAACGGUGAUAGAGCGUUGCUACGGUGGCAAUAAAUUCAUGAUUUAAUUUUGAUACAAUGUUAUCGUAAUGUGACCAAUGGACGUUGAUUCGUUGGUUGUGUGCAGUUGUGGUGGUGGCUAUAGUGGUGGUGGUGUUUGCAGUGCUCUAAGGUGGUGGUGGUGAUGGUGGUGUUGGUUGUUUUUUGGUAAUGGCGAAGGAAAUGAUUGAUUUCAGGUGGUUGUGUUGGUGAUUGUUGAAAUGGGUGGUGGUGGUGACGCGACGAUGCUAAGUUUGGGGAUUUUUUGGUGGCGGUGACGCGACAACACGGAGUUUGGUACGGUGCUUUGGAGUGGUGGGAUGGGGUGUGGUUGCUAUCGGUGUUGUAGUGAUGGUGAUGUCGAUGGUGGUGGCGGUGGGCAGCGUUGUUGGUGGUGGUGUGGUGCUUUGGAGUGGUGGGAUGGGGUGUGGGUGUAUAUGACGAUUUUAUUGGUUAACUAAAAGUUUUGACCAAAUUGGUUAAUUUGUGACCAAUGUGGAUGUGGUUUUGGCGGUGAUAGUGGUAGUGGUGCUGUUGGAGGCAGCAUUGAAGUGUUGGUAGUAAGUGUUGUUGAUGGUCACAGAUUAUUUGGUUGUUUGUGAUUAGUGAAUUGGUUAAUCUGUGAUCGAUAAACAAUAUGUAACCAAUGGAAAAGAUAAAUUGUGACGAAAAAAUAAUAUGUGACCUAAAAAAUUAAUAAUUUAACUGUCUAAUAAGUUGUGACCUAUAAUAUUUGUCAUCUGUGACCCAUAAAUUUUUUUAUUCGUGAUCGAAAAAUAACAUGUGACCUAUAAAAUUUUUUAUUUGUGAUCGAAAAAUAAGUUGUGACCAAUAAUUUGAUAAGUUGUGACUAAAAAUUAAUCGGUGACCAAUUAAUUUUUUGAUUUGUGUUCGAUGAAUAAACUGUGACCUACAAAAUUUUUGAAUUGUGAUCGUAAAAUAAUGUGACAUAAAAUUUCAUAUUUGUGACCAAAAAAUAAUAAGUGGCUAAUUAAAUUGUUAAUUUGUGACCAAAUUGUAUAAAUAUGUGACAUAAAUAUAUUUAAUUAUUAAAAUAAAUAAUUAAUUAAAUUAUAAAUAAAUUUUAAUAAAAAUCUGAUUUUUGAAAUUUGAAACUUGUUUUCUUAAUUUUGAAUUAUGUCAUACUUAAUCUCUUACUUAUAAAAUUUUUCCACAUAGAAAUUGGUAAGGUAAAAGAUCAUCGAGUAUAUAGACGGAUUUAGUCAUGGGCUAACCCAGACCAAUCAGGCCCAAAUCCCUUUUUUCUAAGAAAAAAAAGUGUCGAAAAAGAAAAAUCAUGUCUUUUUUAUUUUAUUUUAUUUUAGUGCUUACUUCGCUCCUGACCAAGUACAUGGUCCCAAUGAAAGUGUUUCUAGUUUUGACUGCCUAUGUAAUAUACCAUUUUUCCUUGUAAACAUGCUUUUUGUUUUGGUAAAUUGGUCAUUGGAAAUAUGGGUAUAAGAUGGACCGUCAAAAACAUCUUGGGUGAAUUUCACAGUUUUAGAAGUGUUAAUUUAUUCUAGUGAAACUAUUUUUAUUUAGAAAAAAUUAAAGAAACAUUUUUUUUUUCAAAAUUGAAGAAAUAAUAUAACAUGUUGCCAGAAAACUAUAAAUUCUUUACAUCUAUGGCAGUCGAGUAAGUGGAAUAUGUUUCCAUUCAAUCAAGACCACAAUUUAUCAUAUAUUGUUGAGUCAAAAAAAUUUAAAAGCUACAAAAAUAUUUAUAAAUAUAUUAAUAUUUUACCUACUUAAAAACUAAAAUAACUGUUAUGAGUUUAAUGGUGAUUUUCUUAUAAGAAAAAUAUAAAAAUUUUGAAUUUUUUGUACGUAGUAAAGUUAUAUGGGAUGAUGAUCUAAUUUUUACUAAAUUGCAGGAAUCAACAAAUGUUAUAUUUUAAAAUUGUUUUUAUAUAUUAUAAAAUAAUUAUAGAAUAUAAGAAUAUACUGAAAUAAUCUCUAAAAUCCCAAUUUAAACUUGUCAGAGUUGUUAAGAUAAAACAUUUUUCUUAAAUGAGUAUUAUAGUUUGAAAAAACUAGAUUAUAAAUGUAUGACAAAUUAAAAUUCAGUACUUCUAAAGUAGGAAUAAUUAAAUAUUUUGAGACUAAGCAAUUUUUGAUGUGAUUUAUCAUCAUCAUGAAUUAUUUUUUAACUUGAAGAGAGUACAUUUUUUCUCUUGCAUUUUGAUCACAACGCAAUAAUAUUUUUCAAAAUUAACUUUAUUAUUUAAAGAAAGAAGAGCAAUAUUGAUCAAAAUGUUGACUAUAUAAAGGACAAAUUACAUUCAAUAUUUUUCUUCAAUUCUAACUUUGUUAUGUUUUCCUAAGAACAAUAACAGGAAUUUAAUUUAGCUAAACAUAGCAUAAAGGUGCAAAUAUAAAAAAAAUAUAUAGAGAAAUAAAAAUUCUUUGUAAACAGUCGAUUCCAUGAUUAAAAGUUCAUUCCAUAUUUCUUUUAACAAAUGAUAAAAUAAAAAUAAAAGUAAUAUUUUUUAAAUCCUUUUAUAUGCAAUACAAAUAUAUAGAAGCUAAAGCAGAAUGUACAUUUUCUUAAUUUUUCAUUUUUGAUUGGAAAACAAACCCUAGAGGAGGUUUAUGUAGUUAAAAGGCAGAGGGUGUUUCUAAUAAUAGUCAAAUACUUUAGGCGUGUCAUCGAUAUUAAGUUUAUAAAUACACCAAUUUCACUGCCUAUAAAUAGGGAUAUCAAACGGGCCAACGAGUAGACGGCUCGAGCUCGUCAUUUGAGCCGAGCAAGGGGUUUAAUCCCACAAGCAGCUCGUGGGCCGUGGGCCGCCCACGAGCCAUUUUUGACGAGCCCACGAGCUUGUAAAAAAAAUGCAAAUUUAUAAAUAAAAAAAUGUGCAAAUUUACCAAAAAAAAAAAUUUUAAAAUAACAAGCUCGCGGGCUCAGCUUGGCUCGGCCCGCGAGCUCGUGGUCUCACGAGCCACGAGCUCGGCUUGGCUCAGCUCGCCCAAGCCCCAGCCAAGCUCAUAGGUUAAAGGGUCGAGCCGAUUUCCAUCACUACCUAUAAAUUUAUCCAACCCCUCUUCCACCAGCGUGAAGAACAUAAGAGCAAGAAAUACUUAAAAAAAAAAAAAAAAAAAUUGUAUGAGCUCUGAUGGAAACUCUGGAGGUUUUGGGGGGCCAAAUAAAGGAACAUCUUUCAUGGCUACGGUAGCAGCAAUGUUUGGAGUGGUGGCUUUGGCGUGUGAGUUAUGGAAUCUAGCUCGCCCGACAGAAGAGCCACCAACGGAGAAGAUGAUGAAAGCACCACGAAAAAAAGAUACAUAUAUUCCUAGAAACGACUUUGAGGGUAACCCUGCUGCCUAUUUUCGCAACUUUCGCCGAGGUCUGAUAUUAAUACUAUAGUACUAUAGGUUGAAAUCCGUUGCCAGGGUAAUCGGGAUAUAUUCAACUGUCGUGUUUAAUUUGCUGUUAUGCGUGUUUUAGUAGUAUAAAAAAAAAAGGUUGAACCCUAAUAUUGAGGGCUCCCACCGUCCCGCCCCUAGAUAAAUCGUGGAAUGUGUCCCACUAGGCUAUGGAACAAGAGUUUGCCCGUACACUGGUGCCCACAAAGAGUCUAAUUCUAUAUCUCAGGAAUCAAACCCUCACACUGCGACUGCCAGCAAAAUUGAGACUACUUCACUUCUAUUCUUUGCACCACUGCGUUAUGCCCCGGAGGGUGUUUUAGUAGUAUCAAUUAAUAUGGAAAUGGGGUGUCUAUCUCUAAUCGUCAACUAGAGAGAAGUCGAAUGUUGGAUUGUGAUUUAUGUGCUAAUAUUUUUAGUUCUAUGUAAUAAAAUGAUGUUUGUUAAUAUAUGAGUAUCUAUCUUUAACGACAACAUGUUUGAUGUCGUGUAUACAAGGUUAAAGGUUUCGGUGAAUUUAUUAGAAGGGCCUUUGUUUUACCAAUCAAAGUAAAAAUUAAGAAGUUGUAAAAGUUUAAGAAUGGUUAAAUUGAAAUUUGAAUUAUCAUAACAAGGACGGAGCUAGAAAGAUAUAUUAAGAUGGGUUGAAAUUUAAUUUCUUUUCAAUGAACACAUAUUAUAAAAGAUGUUCUAUGCCACACGAGAUUUAGUGCUUGUUUGAUACGGAUUUUAAGUAGAUUAAAAUCAAUUUUUUGACCGUUAUAUCACUAUUCUAACUGUCAUUUUUGAAUUCUUCUUUCACGGGUAGAACCCACUUUAUCUCUAACGGUUAAAAAAUCAAUUAUCAAAAUCCCUUCCAAACAGGCACUUAGUUUAAAGGGUUAAACUCAUGUGCUCGUGACAAAGUGGGGCAAUAUAUUUUUGAACACUCGUGACAAAAGUUAUAACAAAUAUAUUUUAAAACUAAUAAAAUUAAGUAUAGAGCACAUUACUUAUUUUAAUAAUUACAUCCAUUUCAUGGUUGAAAUAUAUCAAUUUUUAACUUACAAGUAUAAAUUAAUAAUAUAUGAAAAAAUAUAUAGAAAAAAUUUGAUUACUUUUAAACUUAGUCAAACAUGUAGCGUUUCAUACUGUUUAAAUAAGUGGUUUAUAUUUAUUUUAAUCGAUACAAAUUAUUUAUUGCAUAAUAAACUAAUUUGCUUAUAGGUGAACUCUUUAAACUUAGUUUUAUAUAUUUAUGAAUGAAAUAAAAUACUUAAUUUAAUAAAGAGUUAUUUGUGCAUCAUGAAUGUGAAUAAAAUAAAUAUGUAAAUGUUGAAAAGUCUUAAACUAAAUUUGAAUAAUUCAACAUUGAGCUUGGGUUGUGAAUAAAAUUAGUUGGGUUAAAAUUAAUUUUUGAAUUAGACUAAAUUUUUAUUUUUAUUUUCAUUUCACCAUGAACGUAGACUAAAUUUUACAUUUUUAAGCCAAUUUGCUUCAAGGCUAGGACAGGGCUAGCCUAUAGCCCCCCUCUCCAUCUGCCUUUGUAUUGUAAUACAUGGAUCUUACAAAAUACGUAAAUAGUAGUUGUUUGUUUUACAAAACAUUCGGAUAAAAGUAUGUUGAAUUAAUUAGAAUUAAACUUUGUCUAAUAUUACAAAAAAAGUUCAUCGUGGUGCAAGGGUGACAAUGCAGAAGAAGAGUGGAAAGAUUUUUUUUCCGCACAAUUUUGGAGGAGGUUUUCUGUUCAACUUCGUACUUCUUAAAAAACAAAUAAAUACAAGUGAUAAAUUUGCUCAUAUUUAAUGAUUUACCAUCGUGGUGUGUCUAUUUAGCCUUUGUUUUGGUAACUGUUCUUUCUUAACUCUUUUUUAAAAAAAAAAAACUCAUUUAGAUUGUAGUAAAAUACUUUUUACGUAAAUCAAAACUAUUCCCUACUUUUUACCACAAAUUAUCCAAAAAAUUACCAUUCAAAAACUCAUUUUUUACCAAAAAAAAAAAAGGGGGAUGUCAAACGGGGACUUAUUAACUUGUCAAUGCCAUACCUCACAUUCUCACCUCAAAUGAAGUUAACACGAUUUAGUAAAUAAUAUCAUAUUAAGGCCAAUUUUGCUGUUCGGCGUCUCAUUUUGUGUUAUUUAGAAUUAAGCUCAUUUAGGCGUAGGUAAAAUCUGAUUUUUAACAAAAAGUUAAUGAAAUGUGUGGUUAAAAAGUUAUAGGUUUUAGAAAAUGUAUAGUUAAAAUUAAUUAUUCAUUUUGAUUUGAUAUUUUCAUCUAGACCAAACAAAGAUUUAAGGAUUAAGUCAUUUGAACAUAAUUUGGUUGACAUGAUUGUUGACAUUCCAUUCAUUUUCAAAUUGCAUUUAGCGGGAAAGUGUGUUGCAUUUAAAAACUAUCCACUCAUGAAAUGACAUAUGGCACAAUGUCAAAAAAGAUGUUAAAUAAAAUGUACAUAUGAAUCCUGUGAAUAUUAUAACCCUUAUUUCGUCAAUAAUUUAAUCAUAUAAAAAUACAUUGAUUUCAUUAGUAUGCGUGACUAUGAAUAUAUUCACUCACAUUUCAUGUUGGGUCCUAUAGAGAUUCAUUUAUUGGAUCCGUACAGCAUAAAGGGUACAAACUAAUAAAUUGCUUUAUUCUCCUUCAUCUCAAAGCUUGUAAAAAGUUUGUACGAGGACAGUGACUAGAUUUACGUUGGAAUUUAGUGCAUGUUUGGUUUGAAUUAAAAUCUAAGUCAAAAUUAAACAAUCAAUAUUAAUAAUAUCUUUCAUGAGUCUUGCAACAUUUCAACCACACAUUUCAAAAACUUUUAUCACAAUCUACUAAAAAAUUUAAUUUUAAUUCCCACUGUACACCCUCUUAAAUUGUCAUUAUUAUCUAUUGAAAAUCUCUUUUGUAAGCCACAUAUUAGCAGUGUUUGGAGAUUUCUUAACAGCAAAGGGAGCACUGGAGGAAGUCUACGUCGUGAGUCAAGUCUUCGUAGAGCAUUAAGUCCUGUUUGGGCUCCAUUAAUUUUAAAAUGUAUUUUUAAAACCUCAUUUUUAAUCACUCAUUCUUUCAUAAAAUAAUAUUAAAAAUAAAUCCAAAACUUUUCAUCUUUUAACCACAAAUUCUCAAAAAAUCACUAUUUGAAAUAUAUUUUUUCUCGAAAUCACAUUAAAAUGAAACUCAAACAGUCUCUAAAUUGUCAGUUGAAAAAUAGCAACAAGUUUAGUAUUGAAAAUAUUAGCAAACUGCAUGUCGGUCUUCAAUUAGUUGCUUCUUAAUCCUUUGUUAUAGUUACACCCAAUCUAAGAAAAAUUAUUUAAAUCUCUAUUAAAUCGUUAUGUAGUGCUCAUAUGUUCAAUUCUAUGAACUUGAUUACGUGUUUGUUACUAGGGACAAAAUGUAAAAAAUUUAUGAAAGAUCGAAGGCAAACAUAAUUCUUUUUUAUUUAAUUGAUGACAAACUUGCGACUCAAAUGUUAAAUCAGGGACCAAUAAAGAGAUAUUUUUAAAGUAAAAUGUAUAACAAGAUAACUUUGAAUAUUCAAUGUUAAUCAAUAUGAUUAUAAGGUAAAUGAAUCCAUGGUGUUGUGGAUCUUUUAGCCUCUUGCAUCCGGUGAAACACCUUCUCAAACAACCAAAUCCACCACCUCGCUUCCAAAAUUUCCAUUCGCCAGUAGUAAUUCCUUCCAGCUUUUCUACAAUGAAGUUCAUCACUUCACUCACACCCAUCUCAUUAGGUUGUAAUGUGUGGUGAGAUGCUUUGAUGCUUUGGAGCAGAAAGAGCCACCAAUUAAAUGCAAUUAGGGUUGUGAAUUGAUAGCCUAAGAAUAACUAAUCAAGAGGAGUAAAUUGGUCUCCGAAACUUUUUUGAAAAAUUGAUUCUAAUUCAAACAAGUUGGGAAUGAGUAAGUCAAUCAAACAAAAUGUACAAAUAAGAAAGCAAUAAGUAAAAGAAAAGAAAGAGUUAAAAUGAUGCAAUUGUAGAGUUUCAAUUCCAACCAAUGAUCUACGUCCUCUGUUACCAAGAUCUCCGUCACGAGCAAGGUAUUUUCACAAUAUUGAUUGACUUACGGUGCAAUACAAAUCCUUACAAAUUUUUCGAUGACUUACAAACAAUGAGUACCGAUUGUUAUACAAUAGUAAGCUUUCCGAAACCUCAAUAUUCCACAAAUUAAAAGAUGAAUGAUUUUACAAUUUGAAACUUAUCUCUUAAUAAAUGAUAUAUAAACAAAUGAAGUUCUAAGAAAGAAAGAGGUUAACACUUUAAUGAGUAGCAAUGAAAGAAGCUCAAAUAUUAGGUGAGAAAAAACUUUCAUGAGAAAGAUAUUUGUCGAAAGUUGAUUCAAUCAAAAGUCUUUCCAAGUAAAUGAUUUGAUAAAGACAAAGAAGAUGUAAAAUCAAUAUAAUCUGCUUAAGAACAUCUCACUUAAAAUGCUCUUCAAAUUGUUGUGAUGAAUACAAAGUGAGAUGGUAUUUAUAGAGUUCAAAAUGUCAAAAGUUCUGAGUAACCGGAAGUCCACAUUCUAAAUCGGACAACCAAUGUAGCCGUGUUGUGCGUUAGAACUCAAAACGGUUAAACAAAGUAAUCGUUGGACAAGCCAAACAUCCGUAUCGACAGAUCUUCCUUUGAUUGCUCAUUUCUUAAUUUUUUGAAAAAUGUAGGCUUUUUAAGAGCAUUUUUUCACUUUAUUUUUAAAGGUAAGUGAUAUUGUAAAAUAUUUGACAUCAUUAUCUUUUAGAAAAUAAUUUUUAUGUGAGUGAUUUCAUGAAAUAAUUUUUCAUACAUAAAUAUUUAUUCACUGAGCUUUUAAUAAUUCAUUAUUAAAUAUUGAAGCAUUGUAUCUUUACACAUAAAUACAUUUAAUCUAAUAUUUUCAAUGUUUGCCUAUUGAGAUUCUUUGUCUCAAAUGAUUUGUCUUGAUUACUUGACUUCUAUCUUGAUUUUUAUCAAAUGCGAGAUGCGAGUCUUUUGAUUGUAAUCUUUUUGUCCUUGAUCAAUCAACGUUACAACAAUAGCUUUGAAUACUUAAAUUUAAUUGUUAAAAAUAAAGUUAACUUGUUUGUUAUGGCCAAAACAUUAAAGAUGAAAUCAACUUUGGGUCAACAUGAUUUCCAUGGAAAUUUGGGAUAAAUUUUCCAAAAGUUCGUCAAUUUUGGGACCCAUUUGGAGCACUAUUGAAUACAUUUCUUCUCCAUAAAGGACGAGGAUUAUUUUUAGUCUACUUCCUUGGUCAAGCUACAUAAAUUGCGACUAUUGUGUUAGUUUUAGUUUUGCUCUAGGGCAAUUUCUUUUAAGCUUUGUCACUUGGUUCUAGAGGUAGUAAAAAAUUGUGCUAGGUGUACAGUAAUUUAAACAACCCUCUCACAUGGAGGAUGUGGGGUUACGAUUAAAAUAAUCGUAGGGUCCACCCAUGUGAGAGAGCUAUAUAAAUUGUUGUACAACAAGUGCUAUACAAGCGUCAAAAUCCGGUAGCAAAAUGCACUGUGUGCCGACGCUCCAGGUCAACAUUUGGAUGGAGUGAUUAUAUUGUAGAAACUAAAGUGAAAGCCAGCUAAUAAAAUCCAGACAUUUUUAAAAACAAUCAUGUUUGGUGUACAAUGUUUUUGACCUUUGCAUAUAAUAUUGGCGAGAUUGAAGUAACUUUUUGUUCAAAAAUCUUCCUAAUAUAAACAAGGAUUAUAUUUCUAAAUUUUCUUCAUUUAGAGAUUUUCUUUUUCUUUAAUUAAAAAAAAAAAAAAAGACUAGAGGGCCAGGGCAUGUCUACUUGUUAUUUUAGUUACAAUCAAUAUAAUAAAAAUGGUUUAUUUAAAUUAUCUGAUAGUCCUCUUAUGUUUGGGUCUCGAGAUAUAUGAUAAAAAUUAAUUAUUCAUUUCACUUCUUUUUAUCAACUUAUUAGUUAAACCAACCAUUGGCUUCAAAAGAACUUUUCAUUGUUGAAUAUAGAUUGUGCACACCUACUAUGAAAGAUCAAAGAUAUACUAAUUUUUUUAAUUUUUUUUAAUUAGAGACCCACUUGCUACUCAAAUAUUUCAUUGACAAAAAAACCAAUUUUUUCAAAGUAAAAAGUUUAACAAGAUAACUUGUACAUGUGUAGCUCAACGAUUGGAUAAGUAAUUAAUACGUUGCAUCAAAUCUUUUGAAUUAAAUAAAUAUUAACCUAAGUUAUAUCGUUCAUCCAACAAUAAAUUAUUUAUCCGUUCAUAAUUAAUUAUGAAAUUAAACAAUAAAAGAAUUAAAAACAUCACCAAAUUCAAUACAAUAAAUUAAAAAGGGAACAAUUCCACACAAGUGCUUUUUUUUGAGUGAAAUUCUGCCAUGUGUUUUUGUGAAAUAUGUCUGUACGUGUAGCAUGAUUCUAAAAAAUUAAUUUAGACUAUUGUUAAUCUGCUACACGAAUCUCAACAAUAAAUCUUCGACAUUUUCGUGUAUAAUUGCAUAUCCUUUGACGAUUAAGGGACCACGUCCAAUGAUUCUUUCUCUACCUAAAUUUUGUCUUGGCUACUAAAGAAUCUUUUCUUACCGCGUUCCUAUUAACUUUUAAAAAGAAGUAAUUAAUUAUUAAUUAUAGUUUUUGCUCCGAAUCAUUGUCCUAAUUGAUAAUAUAUUAAGCACGAGAAUCAUCAUUAAUGUAACACUUGGAAAUAUUUAAAUUGCUACCGAUAACUCGAUGAUGAUUAUCCUCGUAGCAAUAUACACUCAAAAUUUCUACCAGUUUUUUUUUUUUAAACUACGUAUUUUAUAAGAUUCAAAAGUUUUCAUUCACAUAUUUCGUCAACUUUUUUAGACUCUGUUAAAAAAAUAAUUUUUUUUAUCUAAAUCAAAUAGGGACUAAAUAUACCCCCCGUUUGGCGUCCAUUAAUUUUCACUCCAAUACAUUUCAUUUUUCUCUUUCCUAUUUUCAACUACACAAUUUUUCAUAAAAAAUAUUAUAAGUAAAUCGAAAUUUUUUUCUUUUUUUUCAACCACUCAUUUUUCAAAAAAUCACUAUUCUAUCCAUUAAUUUUUCCACAAAAUGGGAGCCAAAAAGGGAUAUAGUUGGGGUUAUGAUUUUUACGAAAAUUUGGCAUAAAUUUCCCAAAAGUGUGUCAAUUUGUGGGACCUAUAUAGAGCAUUUAUUGAGUGAGUUGUUCUACCUUGCCAAGCCCCCUCUACCAAAAGUCUUACAGGGCCUCACACAAAGGAAAGGGGUCAAAUUUUUAACAAUUUUUUAUGUGGAAAUUACAAAAAUCCAGGUAUUUAAAGAUGACAAUACAAAAUUCAGGUUGAAAGUUUUUUUAAUCAAAAAUCAGGUAUUAUAUAUUUAUACCCACCCUACCCAACCAAACCCUAAAUAAAUUCAUAUCCUCGUCUCUCUCGUAGCCCUCUUUCCCUGUAUCCAUUUAUAUUCUCUCCACCCAUUUCGAUUCAUCUUCAUCGUCGUCGUGUAUCAUUCGUCAUUGAUUCCAUCAAUCGUCAGUCAGUCUACCAUAUUUACCCGAUGAUAUGUUGUGGCGAUGCUUGGAUAUGAGCGUCGCUGCAGCGAACUGUGCUCGCGCUCAAAUCUCAGUCCCUGCAGUGACAUUCAGUCUCAGAUCGAUGCUGUGAGAUAGUGGUGUGGCUGGUUGCAGUGAUGGUGGGUGAGGAUGCGGUGGUGGUGGCACGCUGUUGUCCAGUGGUGGGUUGAUCAAUUUGUAGUGGUUCAGAUGUGGUGUGGUAGGUUGGUGGCUUCGAAUCUAGUUUGUGGUGGUACCGUGAGUGCAGUGGUGUUGGCGGUGUCGUGAUAUGGUGGUGAUGCUGAGGUUGAGAGGUGUCGGGGGUGUAUUGUUUGGAGUUUCUAGUCGUGGUUGUGUUAGGAGAUGUGGUUAUGUUGGUGCGGUUGUGGGUUGGGGGUGUUGUGUGAUUGGUGGUGACGGUCUUGGUGGUUUCUAGCGACAGUCGAGAUGAUGGUUGGUGGUUGGAGAUUGUGGCAGUGGAUCGAGAUUGAGGUGGGGUGCUUGGUGGUUGGGGUCGAUUGUUGGUGUGUUUUUUCUGUUGGCGAUUGUCUGUGACCUUAAAAUUUGGUCCAUGACCUUAAAAUUUGAUAAUUUGUGACUAAAAAAUAAUCUGUGACCUCAAUAAUUUGGUUUGUCACCUUAAAUUUUGAUGAUCUGUGACCUAAAAUUUUUUUAUCUGUGACUUCAAAAAAAUUUGUAACCAAUUAAUUUGAUGAUAUGUGACAAAUAAAUUAAUUUGUGACCUAUAAUUAUGAAUUUGUGACCAAAAAUUGUUAAACUGUGACUUUAUUAUAUUUAUUUAAUAAAUAUUUUUAAUUAAUUAAAUUCAUACCUGAAUUUUGAAUUUUCAAACAUUUUACUUGAGUUUUGCAAUGGUGUAAAAAAUACACCUGAUAUAUGAAUUUUUCCUAUUUUUUAUUGCAUGUGGGUUUGACCUGGGCCCACGUCAUUAUGAGAAGCCUGUACAAGUCUGGUAAGCUUCACCCUGGCAUACCAGCAUUACUCGUCCAGAACCCGUCUACUUUCUUGGUCAAGUUACAAUUAGCCCUUGUUUGGACGAGUAAUGUUGUUGAUAAUGAAGAUUACACGCAUUCAUUUUACGUGGUAUACAUAUGACAGCUUGUUAUUUGAUGAAUAAGGUAAUAAAAAAAUUAUCAUAUUAAUGUAUUAAAUAACAAAUAACAUGUGUAUGCCGAUUAUUGGAAGUCUUCAAUAUGAAUAAUAGCAUUACACUGUUUGGGCUUCAGUAAAAUGUAAAUUUGAAAAAUAAAUGUAUUUCGAAAUAAUAAUUUAUUUAUUUAUUUAUUUAUUUUGAAAAAUGUGUGGUUAAAAAUGAGAUUUUUUUUUUUCAAUUUGCAUGUAAUAUUAUUUUAUAUGUGCAGUUAGAAAUGAAUUUUGAAAAAAUGAGUUUUUGAAAAAAGGAACCAAACAAAGACUUAUAUAUUAAUUGUAGUUUUGCUCUAGGUAAAUUUCUUUUCAGCCUAAUCAUUUUGUUAUAGUGGUGACAAAAUGAACCGCGAGCGGACCUUCAUGGCUUAAAACGUAAGUCGAGUAAUACAAUUGACACAUUUUUAAAAUGAAUUAUACCGAUCAUGUUUCUUACCUUGAAUAUAAUGUUGGCGAGAUUGAAGUUAUUUUUUUUUAAAGGUCUUGCCAAAUUAAAUAUGGAGUAAUGUUUCGAAAUCUUCUCGAUUUUAUAGAUUUUUUUACUAUGUAUAACAUUACUUACAGAACGCACACGGUAAGGGGAUCCCAUCUCAUAAAAAUUCGAAACCCCCUCGCCCUCAUCUACCCCUGCUCUGUGUGUUUUGGAUGGGUUGCGUGAAACCCCCAUAUUGACACAGCGUUAUUCAACUCUCAGUGCCUAGGAAAAUUCAAUUCCCUACAUUAUGAUGGGUCCUGCGGAGAUUCUCUAUUGGAUCCGUACAGUAUAAUUUGUUCUAUUUCACUUUCUUUUCUCAAAGCUUUAAAAUAAAAAUUGUACGAGGACAACGACUGGAAUAAAAUGGAGUUAUCGGUAUUAUUAUCAUGAGAGAGGCUACAAUGACAAAAGGACACUGGAGCAAGUCUACUUUUUGAGUCAACUGUCAAGGUACAUUUUGUUAUAGUCACAAUCUUCUUAAUAAAAACGGUUUAAAUUUUUAUUAAUUAUUUUGUAGUCCUCAUAUGUUUAAUUCUAUGAAUUUGAAUAAAUAUUCAAAAUUUUUAUUAGUCCCUAUUUUAUUUUGCUAAAAUUCAUAUUUUUAAUAGAAUUUUUAAUAAAAGUGAAUGGAAUAAAUGAUAGAAAAUUUGAUAAAAUUUGUGGAUCUCAUGUUUAAAAUUUAUUGUUAAUUUUAACUUAAAUGUUAAUUAACUUUUUAAGUAAAUCAAAGAGAGGUUCAAAAGAACUUUUCAUUAUUAAAGAUAAACAGUCAUGUUCCCCUAUCCAUGAUAGGAAGUCUUAUCUUAAAAGGUCUUAUCUUACCCACUUUUGAAGAAAAUCUUGCCCCCCGGGGCACAUCCAAAUUGGCAAAGGAAGGACAGUGUGGGGCUCGCAAUCCCAGCGUGGGGAGUUCGAUUCCUGGUUGGAGCAGCUGAGUGUUGUAAUAACCAGAGGAAGAGUUGGAGCAGCUUGGUGAUGUAAUAACCAUGGAGGAGGCUCUCUUGGGGUCAGGAGUAUAAAGGCUAUUCGAACCCUGGUCAACUUGGGCACAUCUCGCGAUUUACCUCCCUGAGCUGCUGAGGGGCCGGAAGUUCAGGAACGAGGAUAUAGUCUGGCGUAAACUGGGACACCUCGUUAAAAAAAAAAAGUCUUAUCUUACCCACUUUUGAAGAAAAUCUUACUUAAAAUUCUCACAUUUUGAGACGAACCGUAAUUUAAGUUUUUCUACCACAUCAGCAAGUAGAUAAUUUUAUCCUGUCCACUAUGAGCAGGAGAACAAUUUCUUAAAGGUUAAUUGUGCAGCUAUUACAAAAAAAGGGUACACUUAGAGGAACUUGCUACUAAAAUAUUAAAUCAAAACAAAUUUUUCCAAAGUAAUAAGUGAAUCGAGAUGAGUAGGCAGGAGAAUAAUUUCUUAAAAGCUAAAUUGUGCAACUAUUACGAAACGGGGUGGACAUAGAGGAACUUGCUGCUAAAAUAUUAAGCUCCUGUUUGGUACGGAUUAAAAUCUAGAUUUUAAUCUAAAUCAAAAUUGAAAAUUAAUUUUAAUCAUAUAUUUUAUAGAUCUCACAACUUUUUGACCACGUAUUUCAUUAAUUUAUAUCAAAAUAUACAAAAAGUUUAAUUUUAAUUCCACUAAAUAAGGGCUAAAUCAUUGACCAAAAACCAAUUUUUCUAAAGUAAAAGGUGAAUCAGGAUAACUUUGUGCAUGUGUAGCUCAUUGAUUGGAUAAGUAAUUAAUUUGUUUUUAUCGAAAUUUGCUUAUUUAAAGCUUGUGUUAUAACAUUUGAUCAUUCACGAAAUACACCAUGAGUUCCUACGGAAACCCUAAAAGUUACAGUCAACAAAAUGACUCCUUCAAAACAAAAAUGGAGGAAAAAAAGAAGGAAAUAUCUGUAAACGAUGUCAUGGCAGAAGCCAUUGCCGGGUCUGGCUCGAGGUCAAGGGGCAAAUGGAUUCUAGCCAAGGACACGGUGGCGCCAUUGUUAUAUUACUUGGGUUGUCUCACCAUUUCUUGCUGGCCCGGAUUGAGGCUUGUGGGCUUGGUCUGUUGGAAUUAAUUUCGGGUUAUAAAACGCGUUUUAGAGAAACACACUUUUGCUUCUUAAAUGGUUGAGGUUCAGCUGUACACGUGGCUUCACCCUCACCCUUGGAUGGUUGACUGAUCAAAUACUUGGUUUUGGCUCUGAUUCUAGACGAUUCGAAGUCUUUCAACCUUUCGUUUUUCUCUCCUUUUCUCUGAGUGAUAGAUUAGGGUUUUUGGGUUACUGUAAUUCGAUAUGUUCUUGGUGAUUUCUCAAUCUGUAAUCUUAGUAAUGGUUUCUGAUAGUGUUGUGUAGUUUGUUAGCAAUUGAGAGUGUGUUUGAUUACAGUUUUUUAAUAGAGGCGAAAGGAAAUUCGAAGAAACCUUUGGUUUUUUCGUACAUAUUGUACUGUUCUUGGUUGAUACUUAGUGGAUCUUGAGCUUUAUCACCUUUUGGUGAUGCUCAAUUAGGUCACAAGACCGAACAUCCGGGCCCUUUUUAGGGCGAAACAUAUCUUUGUGUUCAAAUCCUUUUAAUUUUCUGUGAAUUAUUUUUACUGCAAAGCGAUCCGAUUUCUUGAAACUUAACGUUUUUCGACUUAACAAGUGGUAUGAGAGAUACUAUUUGUUGAAAAGAAAUUUUUCGAACAGUAUCUUCAAAAGGAUUUUGGGGAUCUCAGAUCUGAUGUUUCUGGAAAACCGUUUUUGGUCUUGAAAGCUGAAAUUUUAAUUUCUUUAUGACUCGUUUUUAACUCAUUCUAACUUGGUUCUAACUCUGUUUGAUAUGUUGUUUUUGUACUGGGUUGUGCAAGUUGAGUUGACUCGGUCGGAGUUGUGGUGAGUUCUUGACUCACUAUUGAGUUCACACUGAGUUCUGGUAACUCGUUGGCUUCUUGAACCUGUAUUGCCCUUCUUGUUCCGGUUUUGACACUUUCUUACUGUUUUCUUUGUUCUGAAACAUUAAGUUUUCAAACUCUGGUAUUUUCUGGAACCCCCUUUAUUAAAUUGUAAUUGUAAUCUGUUUAGUGUUUGGUCAUUAAGGUAAGUAAUCUUCCAAUGCUUACUUUUGUCCAAGAUCUCUUACGAGGAUCUGGAAAUCUGAGGAAGUAGUGGGCUGCAAGGAUUAUCACUCCUUAGACCACUCUUAGACUGUCUUUCAGUUUUUGAAUUGAAUUGUGUAUUGCAUGAUAAGUAGAUACAAUUAUAUUUUCUGCCUUAUUCAUUCUGUCACAUUUUUGUCAAUUCAAUUAAAUACCUGAAUCAAUAUACUCCGUGUGAUGUAUAAAUUUUGCGUGUACAUAUUUGUCAUCAUGUCCACGUCUAAAAAAUUUGAAGUUGAGAGAUGGAAUGGUACUGGAGACUUCAGUCUCUGGCGGCAAAAACUGAGGGCACUAUUGCUGCAGCAGAGGUGUGUUGCAGCCAUUGAUGGUAAUUGGCAUGCAGAAACUAGUGCCAAUAGAAGACAGGAAUUAGAUGACACUGCAUGGAGUACAAUUUUUUUGCACUUAUCUGACAGUGUAAUUAGGAAAGUUGGAGAAACUACAUCUGCUCAGGCUCUUUGGACUAAGUUAGGAACAUUAAAUCUAACUUGAACCAUGCCUAAUAAAUGCUACCUUCUAAGGCAAUUCUAUAAUUUUAGAUUUGAUCCCAUCUCAAAUCUGGAAGAUAACUUUGACAGAUUCACAAAACUGAUUCAGGGCCUGACUAACUGUGAUGAAGAAAUUUCUAAUGAUCAACAAGUUGUGGCAUUGUUAAAUUCACUAAGUGAUGAGUAUAGAGACAUUAGAAAUGCAUUAGAAUAUGGGGGACAAGAACUUACCAUUGAUAGAAUAAUCUCAGCCCUGAGAAACAAAGAACUUAAAAUAAAAUUUGAGUCUAAAGACUCUAGGUAUGGUGAGGGGUUAUUCAUAAAGGAGAAACAGAACCAAAAUAAGAAACAAUAUCCCUUAAAUCAAAAUUUAAAUAAGAAAGGGAAAACUCAAUUCUCCAGAUUUAAGGAAAAGAAUAAGAAUCAAUGGAAAACUAAAAACCAAAUCAGGAAAUGUUAUUACUGUGGUAAAACUGGCCAUGUAAUAAAAGAUUGCUUCAAGAAAAUCUCAGAUAUGAAAGAGAAUACUAAUACUGAGGGAUCUGCAGCUGUAGCCUGCAGAGAUGAAUCUGAUAUUCAAGGGGUUGUUUCGGUAACAACCACCAGAAGAGACCCAAAUGAACGGGUCCUUGACUCUGGUUGCACCUUUCAUAUGUGUCUCACAAAAGAAUGUUUUUCUGAAUUUGUUGACCUAAAUGGAGCACAAAUUCAGAUGGAAAAUGACAUGAGUUGUCAAAUUAAGGGGAUUGGGAAGGUCAAACUCUCAUUAAAUAACAGUUGUACCCUAGAACUUGAGAACACCGAAUAUGUCGCUGAGUUAAAAAGAAAUCUUAUUUCCUUGGGUGAGCUUGAUGAUAAAUACAGCAUUAUGAUUCAUAAAGGUUUUUUAAUUCUUAUGCAAGGAAAUAAAACUAUCAUAUCCUCUCAAAAGAUAAAUGACAUAUAUACUGUAUGUGCUAAAUCUGUGAUAGAUCACUGUUCCACAACCUUAAACUUUGAUUCCAAUAAGUCUUUAAUUUGGCAUAAAAGACUUAGCCACAUCUCAGAAAACGGACUAAUAAUCUUAAAUAAACUUAGAUGUUUUGGUAAAGACAAUGUUAAGGGUUUGGAUUUUUGUGAAAAUUGUGUAUUUGGAAAACAGAAGAAAUUGCCUUUCAAAACUGGUAUUCAUAAAUCUACUUCUAUAUUAGAAUAUUUACAUGCUGAUCUUUAGGGACCAGUAUCUAUAAAUACUCUGAGUGGAUUUAGAUUUUAUCUACUUAUAGUAGAUGAUUUUUCAAGAAAAAUUUGGACUUUUCUUCUAAAACAAAAAUUUGAUACUUUCCAAACCUUUUAACAUUAUAAAUUAAUGAUCGAAAACCAAACAAAUAAGAAAAUCAAGGCUUUAAGGACUGAUAAUGGUCUUGAGUUUUGUAACUCUGAAUUUGACUUGUUUUGUAAAGAUUAUGGAAUCUUAAGACACAGAACUGUAACAUACACUUCUCAGCAAAAUGGUGUUGCUGAGAGAAUGAAUAGAUACUUAUUGGAAAAACUGAGAUGUAUGUUGUACAGUUCUAGUCUUCCUAAAUUCUUUUGGAGAGAGGCCCUAAAAAUAGCAACUUAUCUAAUAAAAUACUCGGGCAACAGAGGAAAAAGAAGCCCAUUCCUUAGCAGGUCAGGAAUGUUGAAAUGAAGAAUUUCGACCCGCGAAAACCCUUCCCCUUUGAUCUGAUCGAGAAGAAUGAGUCCCUAAAAUGAUAUGGUCAGGAAAAUUUCCUGAUUAUAGUAAACUGAAAGUUUUUUGCUACACUGCCUAUUCAUAUCAGAGUGAAGGAAAACUAGAACCCAGGUCCUUAAAGUGUGUUUUUCUGGGUUAUGGAGAGGAAACAAAAGGGUACAAACUGUGGGUUAGAGACCAAAAUGGCUUUAAGGUCAUUAUUAGUAGAAAUGUCAUCUUCAAUGAAAAUGACAUAUUUUGUGUGAAAUCAACUGAUCUUAAAAUUUCAGAACCUGCACUAUUGAAAGAAACCAUCCUGGAAAAUAAAACUGAUGAAUCUGAAAAUCUAGAUGGUCUAAUUGAGGUGGAGACCUCUCAGUCUGAGGAAAAUUCUGAUCAAAAUGAAACUGAAAUUGAGGUGGAAUCUUCAGAUCCUACACUUGCUGAUUAUCAGUUAACUAGGGAUAGAGAAAGGAGAAAUAUAAGACCUCUAAUCAGAUUUAAUAAUGAAGAAUUUGUCACUUUUUUCUCUGGUCUGGACUUAUUAAAUUCUGAACCUACUUCAUUUGAUGAAGUAAAUAAAUGUCCAGAUUCUAAGUUAUGGAAAGAGACUAUGAAUGAAGAAAUGAACUCUCUCAUUAAAAAUAAAACUUGGGUUUUGGUUGAUAGGCCUAAAAACCAAAAGAUAAUUGACUGCAAGUGGAUUUUUAAAAUUAAACAAGGAGACUCUAACUCGCAAGAUAAAAGAUACAAGGCCAGAUUAGUGGCCAAGAGUUUUACUUAAAAGGAGGGGGUGAAUUACAAUGAAAUUUUUUCUCCAGUGGCAAAAUAUACCUCUAUAAGAAUAGUGUUGGCACUAACUGCUCAUUUUGACUGGGAAUUAGAUCAACUGGAUGUCAAAACUGUAUUCGUCAAUGGAGAUCUUGAUGAAACCAUAUACAUGAGUCAACCUCUGGGGUUUAAAGUAAAGUCUAAGAUCAAUAAGGUUUGUUUGUUGAAGAAGUCCCUCUAUGGACUAAAACAGGCUCCCAGGCAAUGGUAUAUCAAAUUUAACUCUUAUGUGCAGACUUUGGGUUUUGUCAAAAGCAAUUAUGAUUCCUGUUAUUUCUAUAAAGGUUCAGGUGGACCUAAAUCCAUUUAUCUAUUAUCAUAUGUUGAUGACAUGUUGCUUGCCUGCCAUGAUAGAUCUGAAAUUAACUUUAUUAAAUCAAAAUUAAAAUCUGAAUUUGAAAUGAAAGAUCUAGGACAAGCAAAAAGGAUCCUUGGACUGGAAAUAGAAAUCGAUAGGAAUAAUUGCAUGUUAAUAUUGAAACAAGGCAUAUAUGUGAAGAAAAUACUUGAAAAGUUUGCAAUGCUUGAGUGCAAACCUGUAACCUUACCCAUUGCUAAUCAUUUUAAACUGUCAAGUGAAAGUUCACCUAAAACAGAUGAUGAAUUUAUAAGAAUGGAAAAGAUUCCUUAUGCGAAUGCUGUAGGAUCAAUAAUGUACCUUAUGGUCUGUACCAGACAUGACUUAGCUCAUGGCAUUAGUACCUUAAGUAGGUUUAUGUCAAAUCUAGGUGAAACACACUGGUUAGCCAUGAAGUUUUUGCUAAGAUACUUAAAAGGAAACUCUGAUUUAGGCUUAAUGUUUAAAAGAAGCAAUGAAGGGGUAAAGUUAAAGGGCUACACUGAUUUUGACUUUGCUGGCAAUUUAUAUAAAAGAAGGUCAACAUCUUCAUAUGUUUUCACUUUGUGUGAUGGCUACAUUAGUUGGAAAUCACAACUGCAAAAAUUAGUUUCUCUUUCUUCUACAGAAGCUGAAUAUAUUGCUGCUUGCGAUGCAGUAAAAGCAAGUCUUUGGCUAAGGGGUUUGUUAAAUGAAAUAGGUUUUGAAAAUAAUAUUGUUAGGAUUUAUACUGAUAACCAAAGUGUCAUACAUUUGAGUAAAAAUCCUGUCUACCAUGACAGAACUAAACAUAUAGAUAUAAAAUUUUACUUUGUGAGAAAUAUGGCAGAAAAAGAUUUGAUAAAUCUGAUCAAAAUUCCUACAGAAUUUAACCUUUCAAAUUUAGGAACUAAGAUAUUACCUUUGAGUAAAUUUUAAAAUUGCUUGAAGAUUCUGAAUAUUACUUGAGAUAGUAAUAAUCAGAACUUCAAGUGUUUAGUAUUGGAAAGAUUUGAACUAAUUUGUUUUUUUUUUUUUUUGCAGGUAUUGAGAGCAAAUGAGCCAACAGUUGCUAUAGCUCUAGAUUCACUAGUAGAGACCAAGAAAUAGUUCAGCAAGGUGGAGAUUGUUAUAUUAAUUGGGUUGCCUCACCAUUUCUUACUGGCCCAGAUUGAGACUUGUGGGCUUGGUCUGUUGGAAUUGAUUUUGGGUUAUAAAACACGUUUUAGAGAAACACGCUUUUGCCUCUUAAAUGGUUGAGGUUCAGCCAUACACGCGGCUUCACCCUCACCCUUCGAUGGUUGACUAAUCAGAUACUUACUUGGUUUUGGCUCUGAUUCUAGACGAUUUGAAGUCUUUCAACCUUUCGCUUUUCUCUGAGUGAUAGAUUAGGGUUCUUGGGUUACUGUAAUUCGAUAUGUUCUUGGUGAUUUCUCAAUCUGUAAUCUUAGUGAUGAUUUCUGAUUGUGUUGUAUAGUUUGUUAGCGAUUGAGAGUGAGUUGGAUUAUAGUUUUUUAAUAGAGGCAAAAGGACAUUCGAAAAAACCUUUGGUUUCUUCGUACAUAUAGUACUGUUCUUGAUUGAUACUUAGUGGAUCUUGAGCUUUAUCACCUUUUGGUGAUACUCAACGGGUGAUUAGGUUUCAAGACCGAACAUCUGGGCCAUUUUUAGGGCGAAACAUAUCUUUGUGUUCGAAUCCUUUAAAUUUUCUGCGAAUUAUUUUUACUGCAAAGCGAUUCGGUUUCUUGAAACUUAAUGUUUUUCGACUUAACAGCCAUCAACUAUGAUGCUGGAGAAGAUGGAGGAAAAGAAUGAAACAUCUAUCUUGGGAACUGCAGCUGCGGCGGUUGGUGUAGUAGCAGGUGUGGCCAUGGUGGCGCAUGGCUUAUGGAAGUAGCCAAUUACUUGUACCCGGAUCCUGGGUCAAAAUAUGAUGAGAAGAAGAAGAUGAUGAUGAAAGCCCUAGGCAGAAAUCCUCUUGCAAUUCCUAGGGACAAAUUUAUCAAGAAUCCUAGAGAUUACUUUCGCGACCUGCGUGGUCGUGAAAGCUCCUGGAAGUAUUGAAGGAAGCUUGGAACUUGUAUUAGUGGUGGAUUGACGAGUUGAGAACGAGAAUUCAACUCUAUAAUCUUUAAUUUUCGGUUGUUAUUAUAUAUAUUUUAAAAAAAAAAAAAAGGGGGAAAAAAGACCAAUAUGGAAGAUGGGUCUCUUUGUGAUCUUGUUCUAUCUAUAUUUCAGUUUUAUGUAUUGCUGUUGAUUAUGAAUAAUGAUGCCGAUGUUUUAUCUAGUUUUAUGCUUCCACAUGUCAAAAUUAAUCUUAUCAACAAUUCUUCGUGUUUAUGAAGAUGGAUUGCACUCAAGUUUGUUCACUUUGUCAAUAGUUACAGAAAAAAAUCGCUAAUAUUGAAAAUUGAAUAAUUCCCCAUAUCAUAGGCAAAUUCUAUGAAAAAUUCAUCUUGCAAUGAUUAAAGUGAAAAAUGGGAGUAAAUAAUUUUUUCUCUGUGUACUCAACCAUUUGGACGACUCUUGAACUUGAGUAAUAACUAGUUAGUUAGGAAGUAAGAAAAAUCGAUACUGCAAGUGAGAUGGUAAGGACGUAGAAUAAUAAAAGAGAGAGAUAAUGUGAACUAAAAAUGAAUUAUUUUAUAAAACUGUAAUAAGUAAGGCUAAUUUGCAUCUUCUGAAUGCAACUUGGUACUUACUGAACAAAUUUCUCAUCUUGAUGACUUAAAGUUCUAUUUUAAUGUGAACAAUGUUGAUUUAACAUGAAACGAUUUGUUAAUUCUUUACAAACGAUUUACUCUCAUCCCUCGACACGUUUCAACUAGUAUCACGUGGUGGGUCGUCCUGUUUAUACCAACUAUUGAAAUCCCUCUUGUUGAUGAUUUGGACACUUUUUAAGAUUUCUAUUUCAAUGUAAACAAUGUCAUUUGACAUCAAUCGAUUUAUUAAUUCUUUGCAAACAAAUUCCUCUUAUUUGUUUACACGUGUCAAUUAAUUGCCCAUGGUGGGUCCGGUUAAUACCAACUAUUGGAGCUCCCACAAGCAAUAAAUUAUUCUACGUCUCUCUUUUUUAAAGUUUGGAAAAUUUUGUACAGGGAUAGUUAUUACUGGACUAAAAUGGGAAAAAAGAAUCAAUGAAUUGAUUUAUGCUGUUUGUAUAAUUUUCUAAAUUUUUUUUAUCUAGUGGGUCCUACUUAAAGCAUUAUUUGAGAUUUCUUGACAACAAAGCGAGCAAGUCUAAUUUGUGAGUCGUCUCUAGAAAUUGCAAUUAGUGCCCCAACUUAUGGACAACAUGCAGUUGGAGUCCCCAUUAACUUUUUUAGAUAUUUUCUCAGCAUUGAAUGCUCAAUCCUUUGCUUUUAUUUUUUGAAAAAUUAGGGUUGAAAUCUUCAAAUGCUAGUAAUGUGGUUAUAGUUUCCAACCUUCAAACAAGAAAAUGCGUCAUCAGCAUAUGGGCUAAAGGGCAUGCAGUGUCAAAAAGGUCCACUGGCUAGUCCGUCACAAAUAGUUGGAGUACGUGGGGCCCACUUCUUGGGGGUGGACCCAUUGUAUAAAAUGAUUUUAAAAACUACACAUAAUAAGAAAUGUAUGCCCAUUAACUUGUUUAGUUUUCAAAUUCCAAAAUUACUAUUCCUAGUAUAAAAAAGUAAGAAAAUCAUUUUACAAAAAAAAAAAUUGUUUUAAAUAUAGUAGAUUUAUGAAUGAUUUUUAUACUUCUACAACUUAGUCAUUAUGACUGUUGUAUCCCUAAUCACCUUAAUUCUUCCAUAUAAAUAUGAGGUUUUGGUUCUUAAUAAAACAAAUAAGUAUAUUAUUUUUUAUUCUUUUUUCUUUAUUUUCAUAACACGUUAUCAAUAUAAAGUUCUAGCCAAUUAAGUUAGCAAAAAUAUUAUUUCUCUUUCUUCUUUCAAAUUUGUAGCCAGUUGAGGUAUAAAUUAUUUUCUUCAAUCGAAGAAAGAAAAGAAUUUCUAGCCAAUCGAGUUUACAAAGUGUUUGUUCAAUGAAAAGGUUUAUAUUCUCUUAACUUUAUAUUGUAUAACAAAGAGGUAUAGUUAUUCGAUCUGAUUACAUCGAUUUGACUAUACCAAUUUAUGGUAAAUAAAUAUUGACAUGAAUGUAAUAUUCUUUGUUCAAUAUUUCAGUACAAUAUUCUAGAAGAAAAUAGUAUUAUUGUUCUUGAAAAGGAAACAAUAUAAAUUGUUGUAAAUAUAAUAAUAUUUAUAAAUGACUUUUAUACCUCUGCAGUUCUAAUCAUUAUGACUAUUGUAUUCCUAGUAACCUUAAUUCUUUCUUAUAAAUAUGUGGCUUUGAUUCUUAAUAAAAUACACAAGUUUAGUGGUUUUUUCUCUUUUGUUCUCUAGUUUAUAACACGUUAUUAGUAUGAAUUUUCUUUUUAGCUUAAAGCACAAAUUAAAUUAAUCAAAUUUUAUAAAUGAUUUAUUGUUGGUAUGACAUUUUAUGUCCAUUCAUUACACUUAUUUUUUUCUACGCCUCCAAGUUUCUGGGGGUAGUAGCCAAUAGCUAUUGGCAGCACCUUCACAAGAAUCGACUAACAUGUCCUUCAUUAGCUUGCCACACAUUUGCACCUCCAAGUUUUCGAAGCUGAUUUCUCCUCGAUUGGAAACUACAAUUUUCUCAUCAUGUGAUGUACAUUAACUACUGUUCAACAUCAAAUCAAACACUUACAAUUGAUUAAUACAUUGACAGGUGCACAAUCAAUUUGGUUAUCAUAAUACAUUAUUAUUAUUACACACAAACGUCUCCAGUGAUUAUAGAAGUUGCAUGAUAACAUUAUACUAGACCAAUUUAUAUGCUAUUAUCUAAUAUAUUUAGCGUGUGCAUUAUAUACUCUUGUUCGAAGAUUUUAUUGUAGUAUAAAUUGAUUAAUUUUUCUUAGUUCUUCGGUAAACUUUAAAUUCAUAAUUUAUCAUAUUAUUGUUCUUGGAGUUGCAUACUAAUAUUAGUUUUCUAGUUAGAUUUCACUUGCUCAUGAAGCAUAGGCCUCUGCCUCAGGCCCAAGACCAUUAGGGGCCAAAAUUUGGCCCCCACAAUUUUUUUUUUUAUAAUAAGGUGAGCAGGCCUAAAAUAAGGUGUGCCGGCCCAAGACUAAUUAUCCAACAACAAAAUAACAUCCUUAAAUCCCACAACAAAACAACAUCCUUAAUACACGUUUGAAUUUUAUCGCUGAGGGGCCUAAUUUUCAUCGUUUGCCUCAGGGCCCAUCAAACACAGGACCGGCUCUAAGUAUAAUUAAAUAAAAUUUAACAUAAAUUAUGUUUACUACUGAAGAGUAAAUUUUUAUACAAUUUAUUAUCUCAAACAAAAAUAUGUUAUUGCAUUUGAAAAGCAUAACACUCCAAUUUCAAUACUUCAUAAGAAUGUUAUGUUAGCUAUUCGUAGAUCUGUCUAUUACAAAUAUUUUAUUGCUCCUAACAUAAAACAAUAGUAUAAUUAAUAUUUUAAAGAAUAUUAAUUGCUCCAGAAGAAUAUGAUAUUGCAAUUUCAAUAUUCUAGAAAAAUAUUGAUGUAUUGCUAUUGAAAAAAGAAAAAAAUAAAUAUAGCGUGCUCUCGAAAUAGCACACAUCUUGAAUAGUAUAUAUUUUAUUGUAUUCCUGAAGAAAUACAAAUUAAACAACUCAAUACUGAGUUAUAAUUUUGAAAGAAAAUUAAAUUUCUGUAUUAUUAAUAUUCAUGAAGAAUAUUAAUUUAUCGCUCUUGAAGAGUAUAGAUUAUAAUUUUAAAUAUUUCAAAAGAAUAUUCACAUAUUCUCUUGAAGAAACAAUAAUUAAAAAUAAUGCUCUCUUGAAGUAGCAUAUUUAGAAGAAUAUAUCAUUUUGAAAUUACGUUUAUCCCAAAAAGAAAAUAUAUAACUAAUAUCAUGAAAACAUUGAUUAGUUUGACUACUUGAAUGAUAUAUAGUUAUAUAAGCUUUAAGCAUAUUCUUCGAUAAUAAAUCAUUUAAUUAUAUCUUAUUUUGAACCAGAAGUUUAAUAUUUAUUGUUUAGCAUGAUCGAUAGGAUCAUCACUAGAUUAAUAAUGAUUCGAAAUUAAAAAUUAAAAUGGAUAUUCAAUGAAAAACUAAAAGAUUCUUCAUCAUAUACGAUGUUUGUUCUUUUUCAUAAAUUUUUUUCAUAAACCAUUAUUACUUAAAAUAGGGACUGAAUUCCCUAUACUUCGGAAAAUUAAUUAGGGUGAUAAAUGGGGCUCAUCAUCCUCCAUGUUGACCAUCUAAAUACUAUUUGUAUCUAAUAGAUUGAUACAUAUAUUAGAUGGUUGCAUGAUGUUUGCAACCUAAAAUUUGCAAAAUUACUGCUCAAAUUUUAAAUUAUGAGCAUAAUAUUCAGAUUAAAUAAUCAAUACAGUAUCUUGUUAAUGUUAAUGAGCAUAAAUAUCAAUAUUUUAAUGAGUGUUAGUUGGGAUGUCGAUGAAUGGUUUAGCACUAUUGUUUGUUAAAGGUUUCAAAUUAAUUUAAUUGAAAACAAAAUACUUUCCAUUUUUCGUUUAGGGAAUUCUAUUACGUAUCAUACAAACAUUAUAGUUCUCUCUAUUAUAAUUGGCUUAUGAUUAGAGCAAAAUUUUUUUAUUUAAUUAUUUUGAUAGUGCAACAUAUGUAAUAUUGAUCAACCACAAUGUACGAGAUGACAUAAAUACGUAGUUUGAACACUUGUCCCAAAUGGGUGAUAUUUUAUAACGCCGAAAAAAUGAUUAUCAAUUUGAUUGGACAAUUCUCUCAGCAUUGGGAAAGGAAUUAAGAAGUUGAAAAUAAGGUAAAAAUGCAUCAUAUUAUCUAAAUCCUUGCAAAAAAUCACUCGUACCAGAAGAUUGAAAGAUAUUUUAUUUAGAUACAUUUACUGAACGAAGAGAUCAAUAAUAUCUCAUGGACUAAUUAAUUUUAAGUGCUCCAAUACAAAUUGAUGACCUAAGAGAAAAAUUUGACAGCAUUAUGUUUGAUAUAUCUAUGGCACGUCUGAAGCGUGAUGAUAUUCGAUUCUAAUACAAAAAAUCUUAUGCGAAAUGAAAAUCGUAAAAUAAAAUGUACAUUUUUUACAUAAUAAAUAUCGCGAAAAUUUGUAUAAAUAGUAAGUAUGUGGUGGAUGUAAUAACAUGUCUCUACCUUGUUAGGCUGACAGUGCAUAAAAUUUGAUGUGCAUGUUGUAAAUAUGAUUAUAGACAAUUAUCUUGUAUAGUUUUAAUACUAUUUAUGAAGGAUUUAAUAUGCUUGAAAUAUAAUUCAAGUGAUAUUAUCAUGAAAGGAAGUAAAUACACGUCGUACUCUUUUUGCCUUAACCAAGGUUUUGUCCCAUUAAGUUUUUCUGACAGUUUUAAUGAGACAAUUUUUGUAGUUUAUUCAAAAAAAAGUAAUGUACUCUUUUUCUUUUAUUAGGAUUUUUUCCACAGGGUUUUUUAAAAUAGGCUUUAAUGGGGCAUAUUCUUUGUGUAAUAAAUGUCUAUAAUAUGCAAGACAUUCACCCUCGAAAUAAUACUAUGAUAAACAUGAGAUUCUUGAAGAGAUCAACAAGAACCAUUUUUUGAAUAAUCAUAUUACCACAGUUAUCAAAGAUUGAUAAACUAUCACGUAUGAAAACGAAGUUAUAUGAAGACAUUGACGUAAAAGAUAUCAAUAUUGAAGAUAUUGACAUACAAGACAUAUAAAUUACUUUUUUGUCCCACCGGACUUUUUUGCCAAACAAUAUUUUAAUAAGAUAGUUAUUCUGUAAUUAAAUAUUCAUUUAAGGAGAAAUGUUGCAAAUAUAGUAGAUUUACUAAUGCCUUUUAUAUUGACCUAUGGUUGAUUUUACCUGUUGAUUAUAACAAUCAAAUUGCUUUUAUUUUUAACAAUUGAAUUCGAGUCGUUAUACUGUUGUGGCAAAGUUGAUCAAUUGAAGAAAAAAGGUUGGUAUCAAAAGACUCACAAAUUGACACCCAAUCGAGAUGAAAGCCGAGCAUGGACUCCAAAUCUAUCAAGGCGAGUACCUCAUCAAGUCGAAUAUUGAAGAUAUUAGACUUAGAUAUUUUGAAUUCAUAUGUAAAGGUAAAAUGCUCUAAUUGUUAGCAAUGAAUCAUUAAAAGCUCAAGAUAAAAUCUUUAUGCACGAGAGAAAUUAUUUCAUAAUGAUACUCGCAUAAAAAUUAUUAUCUCAAAAGGUAAGAACUUCAACUCGAUAUUUUUAAAUCUCUAAGCAAAUGUUUCUUACCUUGAAAAAUUAAGUAAAAACAUCCUUCAAAAAUCUACACUUUUCAAAGCAUCAAAGAAAGAAAAAUCGAGAAAAACACUGUCCAAGCGGACUUCCAGUUCAUCCAACGGUCGAAUUUUUUAACCGUUCUAAAAUUUUGACGCACAAUGACAAGUUCAGUGUCCUGUUCAGAAGCGGACGUCGGGUUGGUGAGAACUUUUGGCGUUUUAACUGCUAUAAAUAUCACCUCACUUUGCAUUCUUCAUAAGACUUUAAGGACAUUAAAGUGAGAUACUUUUGAACAAAAUUAUCACAUUCUUUGUUUAUCUUUAUCAAAUCAAAUAAUUUAUUUUGAAAAAAUUUUGAUUGAAUUAACUUUUGAAAAUCAUUCUUCUCAUCAAAGUUUUUUUUUAGCAAACACUUAAGCUUCGUUUAUUGCUAUUCAUUAAAGUGUUAGCCCACUUCUCUUUUGGUACUUAGCCCCCUUUCUUUCAAAUUUUAAUGUUUGAAAUAGUAUUUUUUGGAGAAUGUGUGAUUGAAAAAGUAAGAAAUUUUUUUGGUUUAUGUAUAAUAUUAUUUUAUAGAAGAUUGUGUAGGUGAAAAUAAGAGUAAGAAGAAAAAUUGAAAGAAAAUGGGUACCUAAAGGGGCUUAAUUUUAAUUAUAUCAUUUAUUAAAAGAGAGUUCAAAUGUUAUACUCAUUACUCCUUGAAUUUAUGGUCAUAUAGAGGUCUCGUAAAUAUAUAUUAUAUAAGGAUUGGUGCUUCUUGGUUGUAAGUCACCGAAAACAUUGUAAAAGGUUAGAUUGUACCAUAAGUCAAUCAUUAUGGCGAAAAAGACCUUGUUCGUGACGGAGAACUUGAUAAUGGAGACCAUAGACCAUUGUUUGAGAUCAAACCUCCACAAUUACAUCGUUUGUGCACUCUCUUUCCUUAUACUUAUUGCGUUCGUAUUUGUGCAUAUUCGUUUGAUUAACUUAUUUGCUAUCAAAUUUGUUUAAAUUUAGAUUUAUUUUCGAAAAGGUUUUCAACAAUUAAUUCACCCCCUCUUGGUUAGUUAUUCUUGGCAUAUGAAUUGAUAUCAGAGUCGGGUACUUAUUUUCAAAGAUUUCACAAUCUUGAUUAAUGGUUAACCCUAAUCUUCAAAAUCUUGAAGGGCAUUCUACAAACGACCUCCUUUCUUUGAUGACACACAUUAUAAUUAUUGAAAAGUUAGAAUGAUGAUUUAUAUUCAAUCAAUAGAUUAUAAUAUUUGGAAAGUUAUUGAAUAUGGUCCUCAUGUGUCUACUAAGACUAUUAUAGUCGAUGGUAAAUUCGAUCAAACUAUUCUUAAACCUAGAGAGCAAUAUGAUAAAGAUGAUAAAAGAAAAUUAUCCUUAAAUGCUAGAGCAAAAAACCUACUUUGUUGUGCAUUAAAUAGAAAUGAAUUUAAUCAUAUUAGCACAUGUGAUUCCGCAUAUAACAUUUGGCAUUCAUUAGAAGUUACCCAUGUUGGUACUAGUAAAGAAAUGGAAACCAAAAUUAAUCUCUUGGUUAUAGAAUUUGAAAACUUCUUUAUGAAAAAAAAUAAACCUACUGUUGAUAUGAUUACUGCUUUACCGAUAUUGUUAGUGGACUUAAAGGAUCUUAUCACAAAUUUAUUAACGUUGGGCUUGUGAUUAAAAUUCUUAGGUCACUAUAGGAAGAAUGGAGCUCAUUAAGGAUGUUGAUAGAAAACGCCAAAGAUAUCAACUCAUGUCUUUUGGAAAAACUAUAUGGAACCUUGAUGACUUACGGGCUUAACAACUCUAAAACCAAGGAGAAAACAAAGAAAAGCAAAGAAGAAUCAAGGGAAUUUUCUAAGCGCUAAAUCGCCCUUAAAUCGAAAAUUGAAGAAUGAACCACAAGUGAAAAUAUGAAUGACGAAGAGCUCAAUGAUCUAGUCCUUCUUGUCAAGAAAUGGAGAGGUCUUCGAAAUAAUUGGAGAUUCCAAAAGAAAUAAGAAAAGGGUGAAGAAUGAAGUAAGAAAAUUAUUUGAUAUGAUUGUGACCAACCUUGUCACAAGAGAACCGAGUGCCCAAACAAGAAGAAGAGCAUCAAGAAAAAAGGCACACUAAGCCAUAUGGGAUGAGAGAGAUGAUGAUGAUGAUCACGAUGGAAAUGAUAAUCAAGAAGAAAUAACCAAAAUAUGCUUCAUGGCGAUUGAAGAUGAGGAAAAUUCUAUUAAAAAAUGUUCAUAUGAUGAAUUAUCUACCUCCUAUAAUGAAAUUCUCGAGAAAUUUUACUAAGCUUAAAAGACGAUACAUGGUUGUGUUAUUGGAGAUUAGGUAAUGUUAACAUGGAUCUUCUUUCAAAAAAUUUCAAAAAUCAUUUCGUCAAAUGAUUGUCAAAUUUAAAGUUUGAUAAAGAUAAAAUUUGUGAUGCAAGUCAAUUUGGUAAACAAGUGAAAAGCUCAUUCAAACCCAAGCGAAAUUCUUAAACUACAAAACCACUCUAACUACUCUACAUUGAACUUUUUUACCCUUUAGAACCGCUAGCUUGGAUAAAAAAUAUCAUGCGUUUGUCAUUAUUAAUGAUUUCUCUAGAUUCACUUGGGUUCUAUUUCUAAAUGUUAAAGAUGAAGCUUUAAAUGCAUUCAAACACUUUUGCAAAAAAAUAAAAAAUAAAAAAAGUCCAAAAUAAAAAUGGACAUUCCAUUACAACUAUUAGUAAUGAUCAUGGAGGAGAAUUUGACAACAUUGCUUUUGACAAUUUUUGCAAUGAAAAUGGAUAUGAACAUAUUUUUUCGGCUCCUAGAAAUCCUCAACAAAAUUGUGUAGUAGGAAAAAAAAUUGCAAAUUGCAAAAAAUGGCUAGGACCAUGAUUAAUGAAAAUAGUAUGCCAAAAUAUUUUUGGGCAGAAACCAUUAACACCGCUUGCUAUAUUGUAAAUAAAGUUAUAGUAAGUUGGAAGAAAACUAAAACCCCUUAUGAGCUUUAGAAAAAUAUAACUCUAAAUAUCGGUUAUUUCAAGGUUUUUUGCUGCAAAUGCUUUAUCUUGAACACACACACACACACACACACAAAAUUAGAAAAUUUUGAUUCAAUAUCCGAUUGAUUAUGGAAUCUUUCUAGGAUGUUCAUCGACUAGCAAAGUUUAUACAGUCUCUAACAAAAGAACUCUAGUUGAAGAACCCAUGCAUGUUACUUUUAAUAAAACUAAUCCUCUUGAUCGUGAGAAAUGUAUUGGUAAUGAUGUAAGCUUGAAAGUUCCUCUCGGACUAUUCAAGAUCAAAUCAAUGAGGAUCCAAAUGAUGAAUACAAGGAAGAAACAAACGUUCAACAAAAUGGAGAAGAACCUACCUAAGUACCAAGUGAUCAUUCUCUACCAAAAGAUUGGAGGUUCGUUUCUUCUCAUCUAAAAGAAUUAAUUAUUGGUAUACUUGUGUGUGUGUAAUUCUUUUUGUUUACUAUUUGGAUUUCGAAGAUUUGUAUUUGAAGCUAAAAAGACUAUAGUUUGACCUAAACAACACCUAGAGGGGGGGUGAAUAGGUGUUUAUGCAGAUUUUAACAAUUCAAUCAACUUAUGCAACAAGUCACAUAAAUUAAACUUUGUCCAGAUUCAUUCACAUGAUUUAACUACCUAUGUUGAAUUUCCAAUUGAAUUAAAAAAGAUAGAAAGCAAUAAAUAACUCAACAAAUUGUUGACGGAGAAAAUCCAACUGGGUAAAAACUCCAGGCACAAGCUAGAAGGGAUUCACUAUAGAAAACUUCAACUUACAGUACGCCAGACAUGACUGUAUCUAACAACACUCUGACCUCCUUACUAUAUCAACAAAAGCUCUCCUAGAUUCUGUAGUUCUACGCCAAAAUCCCAGCCUUGUUCUUCUUCUAUUUCCCGUGAAUCAGCAAGAACUCCAGUUCUUCAAUCAAUCUCCUUCCUGGAUCUUCAAUCAGUCGAUCUUCUGGAAGUAGUGAGGAUUUUUGAAAAGUGUUUUGUUUUAAGAGGUGUUUGAUAUUUUUUCUUCAAUAAGACAUAUGAUGAAAAGAAGGAAUUAUGAAGUUGAUCCUUUGGUUGAGAGGAAAAAUCUUUCAAUUGUGUUUUUCCAAAGAUUGUGUAUGAAAAACGGGACUUUUGAAUAUAUAUGAGGUCGUUUUUGAUAGUAUGCAGCGUCUAAAAAUUGCAAGGAAGGAAAAUUACCAAAAGCCGAAUAGCACUGUCGCUCGAGCGAAGUGCCGACGAAACUCUAGCGACGCACUUUCGCUGGAGCGAAGCAGUGGCGAAACUCUAGCGAGAUAGGUUCUGUUAUUUAGGUUCGAGCGAGGUCAGGGCGAAACUCUAGCGUGAUCUUGCACCGUUUUCAUUUUCAAGGCACCCAACUUUAGCCUAUACCUAUACCAUAUUUUUUGCUAAAUUGCAACACAAGUCCCUGAACUUUUAGACAUUUACAAAUCAGUCCUUGACUUUACAAACUUGACAAAUUGGUCCUUUUGGUCACAGAUUGUCAAUUACAACAUUUUCCUAACAGAAGCAUUUUUGUGCUUACGAUUUUCUUGUUGCUAUGUUCAAAAUUAGCACGUUGGACAUUAAGAGAGUAGAAGCAGCUAAAGUCAUUCUUGUCACUGGAAUUAUGACUAUUCCUUUUUUGGGGGAGGACUCUGGUGUUGGAGUAUCAUUUGCUGCCUCUGGUAAUUUGUUUUGUUUGAGAUUUUGGCAGAAUAAAUGCCUACCAAAUUGCAUGAUACUGUAAAACUUGCUAAAAUGUAACAGUUUAUAAACAUUAAAGUUAGGGAUCCAAUUUUUUCUAUACAUUCUUUAGUUGAUAAUUUUUAUGGAACAAAAAUUAUGAUGAAAAAUUAAUCAUUGGUUCUUGACAAAGUAGGUUCUCUCAAGAUAGUAGCAAAGAGUAUAUAAUACUUUGAGUAAUGUUACUCAAAAUAUACAAGAAUGAUGUUGUAUAUAGUACAAAGAUCUUUCCAUUAAUCAAAAGACAGAAGAUUUUGGUGCAAAAUAUGAACAGGAAGCAUAUUAUUUUACUUAUUUUAUGCACAAGUUGCUAUGAUCACUUCAUUAGCAGAAAAGAGACCUAAUGUUGCAAUAAGAAACACGAAUAUCAAUCCAGAAAUCCGAAGAAAAACCAUUUUUUAUCCAAUAGGUGAACUUUGAAGACAUGCCAAAAGAAUGCAAUUUAGAAAACUUAUGGAUAUUGUAAGUGGGAAUGUCAUUUGAAUGAUUGGCUUGUGAAAUUUAGAAAUUAUUGCAAAUGCAUCGUCCAUUGCAAAUGAGCUUAUUUUGAUGGAUUUCUGACCUCCAAAUUAGCUUACACAAUGCUAGUUCCGAGGUAAUACUAUUAAAGUAGCGCUUGAUAGUAUCCACCGAGCGUACCUAAUGGAGCAAAAUUAUAUCAGCAUUUGAUUCAGCUGAUCGGUUUGAAAACGUACUGAUAUCUAAAUUCUUUUUGUUUCCUUUUUCUUCUUUUUAUCUUGUACAAAUGUCUUAUGUUUUUUACUUGACAGUUAAUUUGUUUUCUUGAUACAGCCUAUUGUGGCUGUGCCUUCACUUAUAUGUGCUGAUGCGUUCAACAAGUUCUUGUCAUGUGCUGAUGGAUUUGCUGCUGGGUGCAUAAUUUAGAUGGUAAAGUUCAAUGGACUUUUAGCAUCAAAAUUAGGAAACGACAAAGGAAAACCUGUCCAUUGAAUGAUUUACGGUGUUUUUUUCUUUUUAAACACUAUGAAAUGUAGAUAGCAGAGAAGUUAGAUGAGUUGGGUUUGAUCAGAUUGAUCAUAUGAACUUCAUCGUGAUUUUAUUUUUUAAACACUAUGAAAUGUAGAUAGCAGAGAAGUUGUGAUUUUUUUUUUCUUUUUGGGAAAUGUAUUGGAUUUUAGGUAUGUCAAAAAUUUGGAUCUUGAUUUUGUAUGGAUAUUGUUACAUUUUUGGAGUCAAUUAAAAAUGAUUAUUGGAGUCGUUUGAUAUUGUUAUCUUCUAUUUUAUUUUGUGGUUGAUUUGUAUAAAUCGCUCUGCAAAUAAAAAAAAAAUACAAAAUUUUUAAAAAAACGUAAAAUUACCUGCAAUAACGAUCAACAAAAUGUUGAAAAAAAUAAGGAUGUAAUCAUAGACAAUAAAGCAAAAAACAUUACAAAAAAGUUAUUACCAACGCUGAAAAAAUGUUGCAAAGAUUAUUCGCAACACUUAAAAACAUUACAAAAAAGUUAUUCACAAUGUUUAAAAAAGUUGCAAAAAAAUUAAUCGCAACAUUUAAAGAAACGUAGCAAAAAGGUUAUCCGCAACAUUAAAAAAAUGUUAUUAGCAAUGCUCAAAAAACACUGUAAAAAUGUUAUGAGCAAUAGGGAUGGCAAAAACAUCAGUCAAAUCGGAUAUCCGUGGGCCCUGCCCCGAAUAUCUGAUUAAGUGGUAACGAUGCGGGGAUUUCGCCUCGAGGUGGGUACGGGUAACACUUGUCCCACCCUACCUCGUUAAUUUUUUAUUUUUAUUUUUUUUUAAGAAUUCAAUACUUUAAAUGGAAAACUCCACGAAAUUUGAUUAAUUCUAAUAGAAGAUGGCAACUAAGAUAAUUUAAGGAAUAUAAUAAGCAAUAAAAACCUUAGUUUAUCAAAUAUAUUUGAACAAUUUAACUAUUAAAAAUAAACAAAUUAGUUAAAAAAAUUAAUAACUAUAUUAUUAUCUCGCUUUAAUGAAUGGAUGCAAUAAAAUGAAUUAUCAAAAACUUUAAAAAAAGGGAUACAUAAACAAGUAAAGACCCCUCCCUGCCCCGUCCCGCCUCGCUCCACCUUAAAUAGGUAACGAGGCGGGAAAAUGCCCGAUGAGGUGGGAAAACUUGCCCCGCCCCACCCUCACUCCAUUGUCAUCCCUAAUUAGCAACGCUUAGAAAAUGCUACAAAAAAUUAUUCGCAGCAUUAAAAAAAUGUUGUAAAAAUAUUAUUGGCAAUAUUCAAAAAGUGUUACUGUAUCCUUUUAAUCUACGACAAUAUCAAAAAUUGCAACAUACAUUCGAACGUUGCAACUCUGUAUAAUUCAAUUAGGAAUACAAUAGAAAUUUCAAAGAAAAGAGCAAAAGAUAAACAAUAUGGUGCUGUUUACCAAUUUUAAUCGUUGUUUAUUCUAUUAGUUAAUAUUCUUAAAUUGCAGGUUUUAUGUCAAAAUUUAGGAGCAACUAUUUCCAUGCAAGGGUUCCGUUUAUCCUUUUCGAACUUUUGCAAGUUGCCAGUACAGUUGGUCAAGGAACAAUGACAGGUCCCGAAAACGAUGAUGAUUUUUCCACUCUUAAGUCUAUAAAGGAAAUUAUAGAAUCUUGAAUACUUAGUUUAGAAUCCCAGGGGUGGGGUGGGGGCUCAUUGUUUACUGGCAAAGGCUGUGAAAAAUAUUCUGAACAUAUAUUGUCAUCAUAACUGUGCUAGUGUUGAGUUGUUUUCUUUCUUUGCUUCUGAUCUUCACCAAAAGUAUGCAAUUUAAGAUUUUUUGAGUUGUACAUGCACACAAAUUUGUAUGGGUUACAUGAGCUCUAAUUUCUAAGAGCUUUCAUCGUUGUAAGACAUCAUUUCUAAGAGCUUUUAUCGGGAUGAUUUCGAAUGAUCCUGCUAACUACUUUGGUAGCCUUUGUGGUUACUGAUACGAAAAAAUAAUUUUCAUCUAGUGAUUACUGCAUUCUAGUAAUUUUUUGGUAUCUUGUUUUACUUGAUCUUAGAUAAUGACCUUGCAAUUCUAGUAAUGUUUUAAACGGAGUAUUCAAAGUUGAAAUCGGAUGUAAUCUCUCUAAUUAUAAUUAAUCUCUAUGAAAUAAUCUUUCAAGUGUCUAACAGGAUUUACUGCUUUUGUUUUGUUAUUAAUGUGAUGUCAAAAAUAUACAGACUAGAAUAUGAUUAUUCGGAUACAUUACUCUCCACGCCUUCAACUCGAAUCAAGCGAUUACUAGAACCACUUCUGUGCUAUAAAAGAAAUCCACGUUGGGGCUUAACCUCAAUGGACAAUACAAUACAUAUUUGGAUUGAAUCCCAAAUAGACCAUGACUUUUGUACCUAGGUUUCAAGAACACUAACGUUAGCCAUUUCAACUGCAAUCAUCUAUAGGAUCUUAGAAGAUUAAGGGACCACAUUCGAUGAUUUUUUUUUUUCCCCUAGUUUUUGUCUUGACUACUAAACAAUCUUCUUUUGAUGUGUUCCUAGUAGCUUUCACAAAGAAGUAAUUAAUUAUAGUGUGUGCUCUUAGUCAUUCUCUUAAUUGAUAAUAUCUUAAGCAAGAGAAUUAUCAUUAUUAAAGCACUUGUCAAUUUAAGAGGGUGUAUAUUUUGUUGGAUUUUAAAAUAUUAUAAAUUCAAAAUAGAUUUUUACAAAAUUCAUAAGCAUCUUAUUAAAAAUUAUGAAAUUUGAAAAGAGUUUGUUAUACCCCUAUUUGGUAGUGAUUAAAAUUCAAAUUUUAAUCUCAGUUCACGUCAUUAGAUUUUAUUUAAAUGAACACAAAUGAAAAUUCUCAAUUCAAGUCAUUAAUUUUUAUUUUUUAUUUUCCAUAUUUUGUCAACUUAUUUUAUUUUUAUUUUGUAAUAGGAAAGAUUCACAAAUUUUAAAAUAUAUAUAUACACUUUGAACAACAUUCUUUUUAAAGAAUGUAUUUUGAAAUAGUAGAUUGACAAAGAAUGUGUUAUUAAAAAAGAAUGAAAAGUUUUUUAUUUGCAUGUAACGAAGAAUAUACAGUUGAAAAUAAGAGAGGAAAAAUGUAUUUUGAAGAAAAUGGAAAUCAAAUAUUCCCAUAUUACCAUAAAAUUAUUUAUUUUCCUAGAUAAUUAAAUUUCAUGAAACAAAAUAUCAUAGAAUAAUUUCUAAAAAUUUUAAGCCAAAUGUGUUCUUUAAUUUUCUGUUUUAAGAAACGAUUAUUCAAAAUAACAAACCAAUUGCAUUCGGUGACCUUAAAUUGGACACUCAAAAUAGAAAAACUAAAAAUGAACCAAAUUAAAACAAAAAAAUAAAAAAAAAAUGAAAUGCAAUCCAAAAUUAACUGUAUUUAAGUUUACUUCAUUUUACAACUCAAAUCCGAUAAAAUUCGUUACAGGAAGUCUAAUCAAAGCAGACAAUAAGAAGAUCAGAAGUUAAUGAUAACCCAGAUCUUGAAAGGCCAAGAGGCUAUCUAUCAAGAUCCACAAUUCGAGUUUAUAAUCUCGAUAGACUAUCUAGCAUUCUUUUCAUAGUACGAGGAAAAUCUCAAUAAGAAAUAUUCGUCGUCAAUCAAGGACAUUGUAAAAAAUUAUUGACAUGUGACAUUUUACAAAGAGUUCAAUUUGACGAUGAAAAUAUCAAGCACAAGCCCACAAAUUUAUUCGAAGCAAAAUACACAAACAAGCAAAUAACGAAAAGAGGAUUUUGAACCGGCUACUCCGGUCCAAUUCUUAAUAACAUAGAUUCAUACAUUGUAAUCCAUUUUUGAUCGAACAACAUCACCAGAAAAUCAUGGCGAACUUUUAGCAAAGUUCUGAUGAGCUCUAAGAUUCCAGAAAUAGCCUUUGGGAUCGUUCUCAAAUUCACUUCUCGGCAUCCUUAAAUUUCUCCCCGGCGCUUUCAUCAUCCUCACUCUUCCACCGCCGCGGCCCUUACAGCAGCCGCAGCAGCAGCGGCAGAAACAGACGAACAAGAUCAAUGCCGCGGCAAUAACAAGGAACGGGGUGGCGACAUGGAGCCAGUGGUGGAUCUUAUCGCCUCGUCUCCAGUGGGAACACCUUGUCAAACCAAUCCACGACCUCGCUACCAAAAUUUUCAAUUGCCAGUGGUAAUUCCUUCAACUUUUCUACAAUGAAGUUCACACCCAUCUCUGUAGGUUGUAGUGUGUGUCGAGGUGCUUUUGAUGCUUUGGAGAGAAA
Molecule: long non-coding RNA, 49217 nt
Filed under: Olea europaea subsp. europaea
Lineage: Eukaryota; Viridiplantae; Streptophyta; Magnoliopsida; Lamiales; Oleaceae
Source: RNAcentral